UCACAGGCAUUGUACUUAAUAUGUCCAAACUUCCAAAGUUGGAAUUGGAACCGACAGCCUUGAUGAAGAUGCGAAAGCUUAGAUUUCUCAAAUUCUAUCAUUCUUGUGGAAGAAUCUUACUUUCUAAAGGGCUUCUAUCAUUUCCUGAGGAGCUAAGGUACCUUUUCUGGGAGGGAUACCCUUUGAGAUCUUUGCCCACCAAGUUUGAUCUAAGGUACCUAGUUGAACUUGAUAUGAGCAAGAGCCAUCUUGAACAACUCUGGGAGGGAAAACAGGUACUCUUUUUUCUUUUGAUAUAAAUCUAUGGUGUUUUGUAGAUUUAUGCAAGCAUGUUUCCAUUUCCAUUAUGCAUAAUGAAUGAUAAAAUUUUUUUAAUAUCUUUAAUAUGUAUGCUUAAAUCAAUAAUUAAAUAAUUGGUUGACCAAAUUCAAUGAUAAAAAAUUCUAUUUCUAUAAUAACAUAUGGAAAUUUCUUAAUCAAAAGAUAAAAAACUAUAAAAUAGUAAUAGAUAAUGUAUUAUUUAAUAUAUCAUUGAAAAAUGUUGAAAUAGAGAAAGAUAAAAAUAAACUCUUUGUUUAGAUUAAAUAUAUGUAAUAAACAUGAUUAGAUUUAUAAUAAAUGGUUUUUCCAAAAGUUAAUAUAUGCAAUAAUUGCUGAUUAAGAAAGAACAAAUAUAAUUAGAGUCUUCUAUUCAGAUUAUUAUUUUGUUCAAAUUUAGUUGUUGAAUUUAAUAUUUUUAUUUAAACUAUUUCAAAUAUCAAUUAACUUUCGGUUUAAUUUAUCAACAUUCUAAACUAUAUGAAAAGUCAAUAAUGUUAAAGAAACAACUUACGAUACACAAACUGUAAUUUAUUAAUAACAUUCGAUAAUUUUUUUUAACUAAAAAUAUAAUUAUAAAAUAAUAACAAUAAAAUAAUAAUUAAUUUAUAAUUUAAACGCAUAUAGACAAAUAAUGAGCCUACCGAGGGAACACCAUAAUUUAAACUUCCAUGUCAAAUUGAGCUUGAAUUUUAAAAGGAAAACAAAAUUUGAGCGAUGAGUUGGAAUGGAGCUCAAACUUGUUGGUUCCACUACUCAAAUAUACCAUUUUGAAGAUAGUUUAAUGUUUGGUUGCACUUUUUUUAUAUUGUGGUCACAUCUGUAGCAUUAUAGUUCUUCAAUGUACACAAAUUUAUCAAACACUAUGUUCUGAUGCAUGCAGGAUUUAGUAAAUUUGAAGGUUAUCACACUCAGAUAUUCCUGGAACCUUGUAAGAAUCCCGGACCUCUCAAAUGCCAGAAAUCUUGAAGUGAUAAACCUUUCCGGGUGUUCUAACUUGCGUGAGCUUCCUUCAUCCCUUCAACAUCUUGAGAAGCUAACUAUUUUGUAUUUCUGCGAUUGCGAAAAUCUUAGAUCUCUGCCUAGCUUUUACAAAGCCACAGCCCUCACCAACCUUCAUCUUAGUGGCUGCUCAAAUCUGUGUUGUUUUCCAGAAAUCAUGGGCACCAUGGAGGAACUAUAUGAACUUGAUUUAAGCGAAACGGCUUUGAAAGAAUUACCAUCCUCAAUUGGCAAUCUUACUGGUCUUUACUAUUGGAGAAUGACCAACUGUAAAAACCUUGUUUGCCUUCCUGAUAGCUUUUAUAAAUUGAAAUCUCUUAAGACAUUCGAUCUUGAAGGUUGCUCGAGAUUGGAGAUUUUCCCAGAAGUCAUGGACACCAUGAAGGAACUGUAUGAACUUGAUUUAAGUGGAACAGCUUUGAAGGAAUUAUCAUCCUCAUUUGAAAAUCUUAUUGGUCUUAAGAAAUUGAGACUUAAAAACUGUGAAAACCUUGUCUGCCUUCCUGACAACUUUUAUAAAUUGAAAUCUCUUAAGACACUCGAUCUUGAAGGUUGCUCGAGAUUGGAGAUUUUCCCAGAAGUCAUGGACAACAUGGAGGAACUGGAUGAACUUGAUUUAAGAGGAACGGCUUUGAAGGAAUUACCAUUCUCAAUUGGCAAUCUUAUUGGUAUUAAGUAUUUGAGAAUGAAAAACUGUAAAAACCUUGUUUGCCUUCCUGACAGUUUUUAUAAAUUAAAAUCUCUUAAGACAUUCGGUCUUGAAGGUUGCUCGAGAUUAGAGAUUUUCCCAGAAGUCAUGGACACCAUGGACGAACUGUAUGAACUUAGUUUAAGUGGAACGGCUUUGAAGGAAUUACCACUCUCAAUUGGCAAUCUUAUUGGUCUUGAGUAUUUGGUAAUGAAAAACUGUAAAAACCUUGUUUGCCUUCCUGAUAGUUUUUAUAAAUUGAAAUCUCUUAAGACAUUCAAUCUUGAAGGUUGCUUGAGAUUGGAGAUUUUCCCAGAAGUCAUGGACACCAUGAAGAGGUUGACGGGUCUUGGUUUAAGCUAUACGGCUUUGAAGGAAUUACCAUCCUCAAUUGGCAAUCUUAUUGGUCUUAAGGUUUUGAGAAUGCAAUACUGUAGAAACCUUGUUUGCCUUCCUGACAGCUUUUAUAAAUUGAAAGCUCUUAAGACAUUCAAUCUUGAAGGUUGCUCGAGAUUGGAGAUUUUCCCAGAAGUCAUGGACACUAUGAAGGAACUGUAUGAACUUGAUUUAAGCAGAACGGCUUUGAAGGAAUUACCAUCCUCAGUUGGCAAUCUUAUUGGUAUUAAGUAUUUGAGAAUGGAAAAUUGUAAAAACCUUGUUUGCCUUCCUGACAGCUUUUAUAAAUUGAAAGCUCUUAAGACAUUCGAUCUUGAAGGUUGUUCGAGAUUAGAGAUUUUCCCAGAAGUCAUGGACACUAUGAAGGAACUGUAUGAACUUGAUUUAAGCAGAACGGCUUUGAAGGAAUUACCAUCCUCAGUUGGCAAUCUUAUUGGUCUUAAGUAUUUGAGAAUGGAAAAUUGUAAAAACCUUGUUUGCCUUCCUGACAGCUUUUAUAAAUUGAAAUCUCUUAAGAGUUUAUAUCUUGAAGGUUGCUCGAGAUUGGAGAUUUUCCCAGAAGUCAUGGACACCAUGGAGGGACUGUAUAAACUUGAUUUAAGUGGAACAGCUUUGAAGGAAUUACCAUCCUCAAUUGAUAAUCUUAUUGGUCUUCAAUAUUUGAGCUUGAAGGACUGUAACAACCUUGUUUGCCUUCCUGACAGCUUUUAUAAAUUGAAAUCUCUUCUGAUAUUCAAUCUUGAAGGUUCAUUGAGAUUGGAGAUUUUUCGAGAAGUCAUGGACAUCGUGGAGAGGUUGAAGUUGCUUGAUUUAAACGGAACGGCUUUGAAGGAAUUACCAUCCUCAAUUGACAAUCUUAUUGGUCUUAAGUAUUUGGAAAUGAAAAACUGUAAAAACCUUGUUUGCCUUCCUGACAGCUUUUAUAAGUUGAAAUCUCUUGAGGGAUUCUAUCUUAAAGGUUUCUCGAGAUUGGAGAUUUUUUCAGAAGUCAUGGACACCAUGGAGAGGUUGACGGUUCUUGGUUUAAGUGGAACAGCUUUGAACGAAUUACCAUCCUCAAUUGGCAAUCUUAUUGGUCUUAAAUAUUUGAGAAUGAAAAACUGUAAAAACCUUGUUUGCCUUCCUGACAGCUUUUAUAAAUUGAAAUCUCUUAAGACAUUUGAUCUUGAAGGUUGCUCGAGACUGGAGAUUUUUCCAGAAGUCAUGGACACCAUGGAGGAACUGUAUGAACUUGAUUUAAGUAGAACGGCUUUGAAGGGAUUACCAUCCUCAAUUGGCAAUCUUAUUGGUCUUAAGGGUUUGAGAUUGAAAAACUGUAAAAGCCUUAUUUGCAUUCCUGACAGCUUUUAUAAAUUGAAAUCCCUUAAAGACAUUCCAUCUUUGUGGUUGCUCGAGAUUGGAGAUUUUCCCAGAAGUCAUGGACACCAUGGAGGAACUGUAUAAACUUGAUUUAAGCGGAACGGCUUUGAAGGAAUUACCAUCCUCAAUUGGCAAUCUUAUUGGUCUUGAAUAUUUGAGAAUGAAAAACUGUAAAAGCCUUGUUUGCCUUCCUGACAACUUUUAUAAUUUGAAAUCUCUUGAGAUAUUCGAUCUUGAAGGUUGCUCGAGAUUGGAGAUUUUCCCAGAAGUCAUGGACACCAUAGAGGAACUGUAUGAACUUGAUUUAAGCGGAACGGCUUUGAAGGAAUUACCAUCCUCAAUUGACAAUCUUAUUGGUCUUCAGUAUUUGAGAAUGAAAAACUGUAACAACCUUGUUUGCCUUCCUGACAGCUUUUAUAAAUUGAAAUCUCUUAAGACAUUCGAUCUUGAAGGUUGCUCGAGAUUGGAGAUUUUCCCAGAAGUCAUGGACACCAUGGAGGAACUGUAUAAACUUGAUUUAAGCGGAACACCUUUGAAGGAAUUACCAUCCUCAUUUGACAAUCUUAUUGGUCUUAAGAAAUUGAGACUUAAAAAUUGUGAAAAACUUGUCUGCCUUCCUGACAGCUUUUAUAAAUUGAAAUCUCUUAAGACGUUCGAUCUUGAAGGUUGUUUGAGAUUGGAGAUUUUCUUAGAAAUCAUGGACACCAUGGAGAGGUUGACGGUUCUUGAUUUAAGUGAAGCGGCUUUGAAGGAAUUACCAUCCUCAAUUGACAACCUUAUUGGUAUUAAGUAUUUGAGAAUGAAAAACUGUAAAAAUCUUGUUUGCCUUCCUGACAGCUUUUAUAAAUUGAAAUCUCUUAAGAGGUUCGAUCUUGAAGGUAGCUUGAGAUUGGAGAUUUUCCCAGAAGUCAUGGACACUAUGGAGGAACUGUAUGAACUUGAUUUAAGCGGAAUAGCUUUGAAGGAAUUACCAUCCUCAAUUGACAAUCUUAUUGGUCUUCAGUAUUUGAGAAUGAAAAAUUGUAACAACCUUGUUUGCCUUCCUGACAGCUUUUAUAAAUUGAAAUCUCUUAAGACAUUCGAUCUUGAAGGUUGCUCGAGAUUGGAGAUUUUCCCAGAAGUCAUGGACACUAUGGAGGAACUGUAUGAACUCGAUUUAAGAGGAAUCGCUUUGAAGGAAUUACCAUCCUCAAUUGACAAUCUUAUUGGUCUUCAGUAUUUGAGCUUGAAGGACUGUGAAAACCUUGUUUGCCUUCCUGACAGUUUUUAUAAAUUGAAAUCUCUUGAGACAUUCGAUCUUGAAGGUUGCUCGAGAUUGGAGAUUUUCCCAGAAGUCAUGGACACCAUGGAAGAACUGUAUGAACUUGAUUUAAGUAGAACGGCUUUGAAGGAAUUACCAUCAUCAGUUGGCAAUCUUAUUGGUCUUGAGUAUUUGAGAAUGAAAAACUGUAAAAACCUUGUUUGCCUUCCUGAUAGCUUUUAUAAAUUGAAAUCUCUUAAGACAUUCGAUCUUGAAGGUUGCUCGAGAUUGGAGAUUUUCCCAGAAGUCAUGGACACCAUGGAGGAACUGUAUGAACUUGAUUUAAGCAGAACGAGUUUGAAGGAAUUACCAUCCUCAAUUGGCAAUCUUAUUGGUCUUAAGGGUUUGAGAUUGAAAUACUGUGAAAACUUUAUUUGCCUUCCUGACAACCUUUAUAAAUUGAAAUCUCUUAUGACAUUCCACCUUUGUGGUUGCUCGAGAUUGGAGAUUUUCCCAGAAGUUAUGGACACCAUGGGGGAACUGUAUGACCUUGAUUUAAGCGGAACGGCAUUGAAGGAAUUACCAUCCUCAAUUGGCAAUCUUAUUAAGUAUUUGAGAAUGAAAAACUGUAAAAACCUUGUUUGCCUUCGUGACGGUUUUUAUAAAUUGAAAUCUCUUAAGACAUUCAAUGUUGAAGGUUGCUCGAGAUUGGAGAUUUUCCCAGAAGUCAUGAACACCAUGGAGGAACUGUAUGAACUUGAUUUAAGCGGAAUGGCUUUGAAGGAAUUACCGUCCUCAAUUGACAAUCUUAUUGGUCUUAAGGAAUUGAGAUUUAAAAACUGUGAAAACAUUGUCUGCCUUCCUGACAGCUUUUAUAAAUUUAAAUCUCUUUUAUGUCUUAGUCUUUGUGGUUGCUCAAAUCUAGUCGUAAAAAACUUGUUUACUUCGGUUGGAGGCAGACCAGUGAAUCAGAAAGAUCUCCAUGGGUUAUCCUCUUUGAAGAAGUUAGAUUUAUCUAAAAGCAAUCUUGAGAACUUCCCCACAACCAUCAAACAAUUUCCUUGCUUGGAAGAGUUAAUCAUGAGGAAAUGCAAGAGACUGAAAUCACUACCAGAGCUUCCACCAAGCCUGGUAUAUUUAGAUGCAGAUGACUGUACUUCAUUAGAGGAUGUCUCAAGCAUUAAGAAGCAUUUUGAGCAAGCACUGUUUUGUGAGGAUGGAUCGAAUCGAUGGUUGAAGUUGAUAUUUACCAAUUGCUUCCAACUGAAUGAGAACUGUACGGAGAAUGAUACUUCAGUGGAGGAAGUUUCAAGCAUUAAGAAGCUUUUGAAGCAAGCAGUGUUUUGUAAAUCCUUGGGUUGGCUAUUUACCAACUGCUUCCAACUGGAUCAGAAAGCUGUAAGCAGUGCUGAAACACCAAAGUUGGAGAUGCCAUUUGAGCAAUUGGUCACUGUACUAAAAGAUUAUCAUCAGGUCAGCUUCUUCUUCUUCUUCUUCUUCCUCUUCCAGAUAGCUAUAUGCCGAAUAAUCAAUCAUGUUUUUAAUAAUAAUCAAACAGGCACGCCCAGAAAGCAAAAAAGGAACUAGGAUUGUAACAUGCGUCCCUGGAAGUGAAAUCCCGGAAUGGUUUGAUUUCAAAAGCUUAGGAUCUUCCAUAAACAUCCAAUUGCCUUCAGAGUGGUGUUCUAAUAAUAGCAGGAUAAACUUUCCAUGUUUCGUUGCUUCCGUUGUUGUUUCAUUCCCAGACUCUUAUAAUGGUAAGGAAUUGGGCAUUAGAUGUAAAUGUCAUCUGAAAUCCUGUAAUGACGACUCUCAUUACCUGAGUUGUUAUGCCUCCAUUGGGUUUAAAAGCGGAUUGUCAGAUAAAUUGUUAGAUCACUUGUUCCUCUUAUAUGGUGGUGAAGAAGUUAGGGGGUUUGUUAAAAGUGAGGCAUCAAACGAGCGUUUUUACAAUGAGGCUUCCUUUAGUUUCUACCUUGAUGAUGGGGAGACUCUUCAUAAGUGGAUUUGGUCCGAAUGCAAGGUAAAACAGUGCGGGGUUCAUCUAUUGUUUGCAAAUUAACGCUUCGUUUGGUUCAAUGCAAUGGCAAAGCCAUUACAGGACGGUUCCAAUUUCCACAGUAAAGCAGAGGUUUGGUUCGUUGGAAUGCUUAAAAUGCCAAAUGGCGAUUACAGCUUCAUUGCGAAAAUCGUUGAAUAGCCAUUCAGGGGAGGAGGUGCCGAAUUGGCUAUUCCAACCUUUCCACCGAAUGACCUUCUUUUCCCUUCCAAAAACACCCUCAGACUGUAAUUUCUCAACGGUUUCACUUUUUAUUUUUCCUUAGCCAUCAACAAUCUCACGCUCAAAUCAACCUGAAAGGAAGCAAAUCAACUUGAAGGCCAAAGACCCACACUUAGUUUACCACUCCUAAGCGAUUCCAACCUAUCACUGGAAUCGCCUGGUGCUCAGUAAGGCCCUGCUUGUUUUGAUGGUAAGUUUUUUUUUUUUUUUCUCGAAUAGAGAAGUAAAUCAAUGGCUUAUGGUGGUAUUCAUUCAGGAAGUUAUCCAUUAUCUACAUGAUCCAAAAACAAGGUUGAUAAAUUGAAACUUUCAGGUUUCAUUUUCCUUUUCAAGGUUGCCAUCUUAUUUUACUUAACAUUUGUAAUUGAAAAAGGUUGAAUUUUUUUUCUAGGUUCAAAACGAAGUAGCUUUUUCAUUAGGUCAUGGGUUUUCAAUUUGCAGAACUCCCUAUGUUAAAUGCUCACAAAAGCUGGGUGAACAACCACUGGGCAUUUCCAGAGUUGUUGAGAAGUGGGUCUCCUUUAAAAGAUUGAGUUCAAUUCAUCAAAAUUUUAGGAGCCAUUUUAUUUUUUGCUAUAUAAAUUAUGGCUAUUGUUCCUUCUGCAACCAUGGAAGACUUUUGCUACUCAUCAAUAACACCAUUUACAGCUUGAACCAAACUUACUUUAUUCUAGGCAUCACUUUUGAUUGUAAUCAAUUUCUUUUUCUGGGCUUAAUUUAUAUGCAGUUUUAGUUGUAAUGAUUCUUAGGUUUGAUUGACUGUAUGAUUAAUUUGGUGCAGCGGAUACAAUAUGGCAAGACAAAGUCAGAUUGUAUCGCCAAAAAUGAUGGAAACUUUGUUCCCAGAAAAAGAAGAAGCAAGAAGAAAAAGGUGACAAUCUUGCGUUUUAGUUCUUUGAAUUGCUAUAUGCAUAAUGCAUAGUCCUUAUUGACUUAAAGAAAAUGGUUUCUCCUGUAUUUCAUUUUGUUAUCGUGUGAAUGUAAUUAUUGCAAUUAACGUGUUUAUAUUUUUCAUCAUUAGUCUGGUACCCUUUUGACCAUAAGAAAAACAGGGGUGUAACAGAAGAUAGUUUUUAAAUGCAUGGUGCCUUUUUGGUUAGAAGUUAGAACUUGUAUAUUUUAGUUUGCCUCUUUGGUUAGAAGUUAGAACUUGGAUGUUUUAGUUUUCUUUUUUUUUUUAAUUACACAUUUCUAUAUGACUACCUAUUUGUUAAUUUCUGUAGGAAUAAAUGCCUUCACUGAAACAUUGGGUUCUUGUUCAAUGGUGCUAUUCUGGGGCCAGAUAUUUUAACUUUUGGAAUAUUGUUUGUAUAGAAAACAGUCUGUCUAGAGUUAACUUUUUUUUUUGGGAAGGGGGCAGGGAACUUAAAUUUUGCGUCUUCCUCUGGUUUUCUAACGCUGAAAGAUUCAUUGAAUGAUUAUUUGUUGUGCUUCUACUGAUUCAACCUAUUUGUUCAAGAUGCUAUAAUUUAAGCUGUGUCAGAGAAAAAAAGUAUUUCAUUUAAGCUAUAGAGUUACUUUUGGAAUAUAAUGCAGUCUAUAUUUCAUUUAAGCUAUAUUUAUUCCUAGGUAGUCAUCCUUUGGUAUUUGAGGUUCUCAGCAAAGAGAGGCUUCGCAGUCUUUACAACUGUAAGAGAGGCAGAUAUCAUAAAUGACAACUCUUACAAAGCAAAUACCCUUUACUGGUAUGUGUAUUAUACUGUUAACUUUGUAAAAUAUGAAAGCAGUGACCCUAGAAUGCCCCACUUCCACUCUUUAGUUUAACCGAGCUAGCAUGUUUCAGUUGGAUAUAGUUACAGGUCGUUCAUUGCUGGUCUUUGAAUCCUGAACUUUUUCAAGUAUAUUAGUUGGAUAUGGUUUUCGAUGGUAAUGAUGAUGGGUUGUUCAUUGCUGUUCUUCCAAUCCUGAAUUUUUUGUUAUCACUUAUUAACCCUUUGGAAUGAUCAGCAUCGGAAGUCUUCGUCUCUUGCCAAAGACACAGAUGUAUGGGAUAUAGCUGCGUACAGUUGUUUACACCUAUGAAUUGAUGGUCUCACCGUCUAUGCUAAUUUAUGAAGUAAUAAGCUAGUUGUACUCCUAUUUCAAAUAAGUCGGACUCUGCUUUGACUCAGGAUAUAUAUUGGCUCCACUCAUAUGAACCUCUUUAUUUGCUCGAUUUUUCAUGUUAUAUUCACUGUUCAAACAUACGGCCUCUGAUGAUGCCUGCUAAAAUAUGUUAAUAAUAAUCGGUAUAUGAUGCUUUGGCAGGAUUGAUACUGGCGGGUGUAUUACUAACAAUGUUGAUACUGUGGUUACGGUACUUUUUUAUUGACUCUCAAGCACAUUUCAUUAGUCCAUCAUUAACCUAUUUCUUUCAUUUUAUUUUCUCCUUCUCGACUCACCAGAUCUUUCUCAGUUACAGGCAAACCAACCAACUCAAAUUGACCAUGCUCGAUGCAAUAAUGAAGUCAAUCCAGAGAGUUCAGUUCAGGCUGCCUAUUGUGAGGGAACAAAAGGUGGCGGUAACGAUUUUGUCAAGUGCUGCUACAACAAACGCAGGAGGAUAUCUGUGAAUAGGAGGUAAGGAUACCCACAGAUUCUGCCAUCAGAUGGGAGUUGUGCCAUGGUGAAACCGAAAUGGUGUUUUUCUUUUUUUGGAUGCUGUCAACUCAUGAACACAGCUGCAGGGCAUCUGAGUUUUCUUCAUGGAUGUGUAAAUUUCUUGCACAGAACAUCUCAAAAUCAGAUAAGUUGUGUUUAUAUCAAGUAUAAACUUGGGAAAUUAUACCUUAUAGGAUGAAGGAUGCAGAUCUCAUAUUGAUUACCCUUUUGUCCAUAAAUUCCCUUGUUUCAUGUUUUUUUUUAUGGGUUUGGCAAUUAAGAUAUAUCAUAAGUUCAACUGGAAGCUGCACUUCUCUCUCUGUCUCCAGGCUUCAAAAUUUACCAUAACUUCAUUUGAAGAAGUAAAAACAGGUAUGUUGACAUGAAUACCUUUUCAUUCAAGCGAAACAUAACUUCUCUCUUUCUACAAAUUUUAUUAACUAAUUAAUUUAAAAUCAAUUCCAAUACAUAAUAAUACAUUAAUCAGCCUUCAAUUGAAAAAGUUAGAAUAUAGGGACAUGCCAUUUUUUUAAUUGCUAUAAUAUAAUAAAUUUGGUCAUAACUUUUAUAUUUUAUAUCAAUUUCACCUUGAUUUUAUACAAAAAUUAUAAAAAAAUAUAAUAUAUACAGAAAAUUAUAAAUAUAGACAAAACUUUAAAUACAUAAAAAUACAUUGAAUUUAUUAAAAAUAAAAAUUUUAAAAAUUCCAAAAAUAUCUUCAAUAUCUACUUUGAACUCGAAUUAUUUUUAUUCAAAUUAUUUUUUAUGCAAAUUUUAAAGUUAUACAUUAACUUUGAUUCAAUGUACAAUCAUACACAUGUAAUUUGGGUUGUGGUUCGAAACUUUAAUUUUAAUUCGAUCAUGCAGAUUUGAAAUAAAUAUAUCAAUUUAUUUUUAUAUUGUAUAAUUAGGGGAAAGGUCUACUUACACAGUGUAAAAAACUAAAGUAAUCUUAUUAAACAAUAAUCAACUAUAUGCAAAAAUUCUGUUAAGGAUAUUUUGGUCAUUUAAGUCUUUUUUCUUAUACUAUUACAACAUUUAUUCCAUUUAACCAAACACAAAAAUGAUAUUACAGCUCUAUUCCAUUCUAUUUAACCAAACAACUGAAUUACUGAUUACAGCUCUAUUCCAUUACAACUCUAUUCUAUUACAGUCCUAUUCAAUUACAACCUUAUUCUACUACAAUGAACUAAACAUACCCUAAGGAUUCAAAGUAUAACCGCUGAAUGAUGCUUCAACCUCAUUUGGCUAUCUCAUCUGUAUUGAAUUUCAAACCCUAAAUAUGUUUAUUUUUCGCUCUAAAUUUUAUAUCUUCUUUUUUCAUUUCUAUCAUUGUUUAAACACAAAUAGAAAUUUAAUGCAUGUGUAAAUUGAUUUAAAUAUAAAUAACCUUAAUUAUUCAUUUAGCCUUUGAAUUUGUCACUUUUCUUCUAGUUGGUUUUUAUGGUUUUUUUAAUCCUAAGUUAGUACUGAAUUUUCAUUCUGUUGAGGGUUUUAGUUACUUUUUUAAAUCUUAAUUUUAUGAUUGUUCAAAAUUUUUUUCAUUUUAAAGCUUAAUUUUUUAAAAAAGUGGAAAAUAUUUUUAUUUAUUGUUGUAAUAGAAAUAAUGUUAAUGAAACUAAAAUUAUCAACUAUAAAAAGAUAAAAUUAUAAUCUCAUGAAUUUUAUCAUUUAAAAAAAAUAAGUUUCAAUAAAAGAAUAUAAGUAAUAACAUAAUCGAAAUUUUAGUUAACCAGGAAUAACCAAACACAUAAACUGAACAAACAAACCAUAAUCCUGUGGUUGAUAGAAAUAUAAUCCAAAAACAAUGUCCAAGUUCAUGAUUAAAGCUAUAUCGAAAUUGUUCACAACCAUAAAUUGUUCAAGUUACUACUAAUAUUAAAACAACCAAGCUAAUCUUGUGUAAAACUUUGAAUCCAAAAAAUAUAUAUAAAUUACAUAAUAAGGAUAAAUAUUAUAUAUUUAAAAAAAUGAAUUUACCUUUAAAAAUGGAUUUACAGCAAAUAUCAAUUGGAUUUAUAAAUUAAAAUUUUGAUUUAUUUUGUAAUUUUUUUAAAAAUUCAAUUAGUAAAUUUAAUCAAAAGAUUAUCUAUUUCUUUUGUUAUUAUAAAUUUAAUCUAAGAUCAACUCGUCAAAACUCAAUAUAGGACAAUCUUCAAUAAUUUUUCCUUUUUGUUCAAUAAAUAAAAGAAGUCAUAAUGAGUUAGAUUUAAAAAAUUAUGAUAUCAAUAUAUGUGAUAGAGUUUUUAGUAUAAAUAAUAUUAUUGAUUACAUUCACAUCAUAAAUCUACUUCAAAAUUAUCACUGAAUUUUAAAAAUUGUCAUUAGAUCACCAAACCGUUACAUGCUAUUAUUGGAGUAACAAGAGUUUGAUGUGACAUGUUAAUUUGCCAAGUACUAAUCAACAGAUUUUUUUUUUAGGGUAAAUUAUAAAAAUAGUCACUUUUAUUUGCUUUAAAUUAUAAAUUAGUCACUUAUGUUUGAAAUGUUACAUUUUAGUCACUUACGUUAUCGUUUUGUUACGAAAUGAUCACUCUACCGUUAAACUCCAUUACUUCCCUAAUGACAGUCCAAAUGUGUUAUAAAUGCCAACUUAGUUGUCUUGCAUGGCAGUCCAAAUUAAAUUUAUUUAAUUAAAAGCAUAUUUUUAUCCCAGCAACUGAACAUUCAAAUUGAUAUUUAAAGCCCAUUUAGACUGCCACGUAGGACUAUUAUUAAAGAGGUAAUGGAGUUUAACAAUAGAGUAAUCACUUCGUUAAAAAAUAAUAACAUAAGUGACUAAAAUGUAACAUUUCAAACAUAAAUAAUUAAAAUAUAAUCCGAGACAAACAAAAACCUUUUGUUUUAUUUCUUUUAUCUUUCCUUUCUUUUCUUAUUUCCUUUUCAUUAUCUAAUUAUAUCCUUUCUUUAUUUUUCCUUUCUCUUUUAUAUUUACUUUAUAAUUUCCAUUUCAUUAUUCAAUUAAUUAUUUUAUUUCAUUUUCCUAUCUUCUUUUGAUUUCAUCAUUUCUCUUUUGUUUCAUGAAAAAGCUAAUACGUUUUAUUGACCAUUUCAAUGUCAUCUAUUAAUUGAAUCAAAAGCAAGAUCUUGGGUUUAUGUGUUUUCAUCGUCCAACGGGCAAAGAGCAUUUUAUUCUAAGUCUUUCAAUUUAUUUGGCUGAAUUUUCUUGCUCAUGUUCCCAUUUUAAAGCUAUAAGCCUUUGCAUUUGAUGUAAAGUAGCGGUAACUUUCUAAGAAAAAAAAAAGUAAAUGUUAAGCAUAAUUGACAUUAAAAACACUUGAUUUUCUUAUAAUCGAAUAAUCUUCUCAUCAGAUCUUGCGGAACACCAAUAUGUUUUCCUCUAACUCCUCUAUGGUGAAAGCAACGAGGUACGAUGUUUUUCUCAACUUUAGAGGCGAGGAUACUCGUCAUGGUUUCACAAGUCAUCUCUACAAAGAUUUGUGCCUAAAGAAGAUUGAAACUUUCAUAGACAAUGAGGAGCUUUUGAGAGGAGAUGAAAUUUCAGGGGCACUAUUAACAGUCAUCAAAGAAUCAAGGGUUUCAGUAAUUGUUUUCUCCAAAGACUACGUUUCUUCCAAAUGGUGCUUGGAGGAGCUGGUGAAGAUCAUGGACUACUCUUCUUGUUUUUUAUGGUGUAGAUCCCUCGAAUGUACGAAAACAAACAAGGAGUUUUGCAGAUGUAUUUGGUAAGCAUAAAGAAAUUUUAGAGCAUGAUGUUGAAAGGGUGAAGUGUUGAAGUUAAUUCUCAUGCAAGACAUGCAGCUCAUGCAGAUUAAUGCACAUACUUUGCCCGGGUAAAGUAUGUGCAAAAAUUCAUACACAUAAGUUACCCGGGUAAAAUACAUGGAACAGGAGAUGUUAAUACCACUGUUUGUUCUCUGUUACAUUUUGUUACUUUCUAACUAUGUUUUUUUCUUAAUUAGUUCAUUUUGAAUUAUGUUUAAAUGAAAAGUUGAUGUAACUUGAUAGUUAAAGAGCUGGUUACCAGCUUUGUUCAAGUGUACAAGUUUAGUUUUGUAAGUUCCAAUGUAAUAAGUGGAGUUAGGUAGUGUUUAGGUGAUAAAUUUGACCAGCCAAUGACUGGUAUAUGUAAUGGCUUUGAGCCAAUGUUUCAAAUGAAUGAAAUCAUCAGAUUUUCUUCCAUAUGCUCCAUCUUUCUUUGUCUUCUAAAAACUUCUAAGUUCUAUUCUUCAUUCUUGACAGUAGCUAAAAGCUUGAACUCCAAGCAUUUUUCCUUCAUAUUUUAUCCGGGUAUAAUACGUUGCUGUUAAAGCUUUUGUUGAAGCUCUUACUUUACCUGGUGAAAGUGCUCAAAUCCCCAACAAUUGGUAUCUAGAGCCUAAUUCUUAGUGGACCUGUUCUUGCAUACUUUCAAAAUGAUGGCUUCAUUAGGCUUCUCACCAGCUACACCUUCAGUUUUCAAUUGAGAAUGAUAUCACAUUUGGGUAGUCAAGAUGAGAACCUACCUCCAGGCAUUUGAUCUAUGGGAGGUAGUUAACUCAGAUGUUGAACCAGAACCAUUGAGAGCAAAUCCAACAGUGGCUCAAAUGAAGCAGUACUCUGAAGAAAAAAGUAAAAAGCACAAGGCUAUGUCAUGCAUUUAGAACUGUGUUUCUGAUGUUAUUUUCACCAGGAUCAUGGCUUGUGAGACUCCAAAGCAGGCCUGGGACAAGCUUAAGGAGGAGUUCCAAGGUACUGAGAGGACAAGGCAGCAGUAGUUGUUGAAUCUGAGAAGGGAGUUCGAGAACUUGAAGAUGAAGGAAGAAGAAACUGUCAAGAAGUAUUCUGACAGAAUCAUGGCUGUAGUUAACAGCAUAAGGCUCCUUGGUGAGCAAUUUGAUGAGGCAAGGAUUGUGGAGAAAGUGCUCUCUACCUUACCAGAAAGGUAUGAGGCAAAAAUAUCCUCUUUAGAGGACUCAAGAGACUUAACCAUCAUCACUUUAACAGAGCUGAUCAAUGCUCUGUAUGCACAAGAGCAAAGGAGGGCCAGCAGAUCGGAGGAGCACCAGGAGGGUGCUUUCCAAGCUAAGGCCAAAGCAGCCUCGAGCACCUCAGCCUAUAAAGGCAAAAAGAACUUGAGAAACAGGCCUAAGCCUGAUGCUGCAAGAGGAGAAGAUCGACUCUGCAGAUUUUGUAAAAAACUUGGUCAUUUAGAGGCCAGAUGCUGGUUCAGGCCAAAUGCUGUGUGCCAACACUGCAAGAAGAAGGGCCAUGUUGAAAAAGUUUGUAAAGAGAAAGGAAGACCAAGGCAGAAUCAACAGUAGCCAAGGGCUGAAGCUCAGAUAGCUGAAGAUGGAAGUGACAAUGAAGAGCAGGUCUUUGCAGUCUCCUGCUCAGCUGCUCAGAAGAAAGUCUCAAAUGGUUGGCUCCUUGAUAGUGGCUGCACCAAUCAUAUGUCACUAGAUGCAGCUAUUUUCAAGUCAUUAGACAGAAGCUGCAAAACAAAAGUUAAAGUCGGCAAUGACCACUUUAUCAAGGCAGAAGGAAAGGGAGAUGUGGUUAUUCGCACUCCAACAGGUAACAAAAUCAUUUCAAAUGUUUUGUUAGUUCCUGAAAUUGACAGAAACCUGUUAAGUAUAGCUCAGUUAGUUGAAAAAGGCUAUACAGUGGUGUUCAAAUGAAAUGAAUGGUAGAUUAGUGAUCCAAGUGGAUCCAUGCUCAUGUUAGUAGCCAUGACAGAAAAGAGCUUUGUUGUGGACUGGAAUAAAGGCUUUGAUAAUGCCUAUGUUGUUUCUUCUGAAGACUCCAAGCUUUGGCACCAAAGGCUUGGGCAUGCCAACUUCAGAUCGAUAAUUCAGAUGAUAAGUGAAGACUUGGUUGAAAACUUCACCAACUCUGUUGAAGAAGAAGAGGUAUGUAAAGUCUGUCAAUUGGGAAAACAAGCAAGAUUGUCAUUUCCUACAAAUCAAGCAUGGAGAGCCUCUGAGAAGCUGCAGCUUGUACACACAGAUGUGUGUGGUCCUAUGAAGACUGAAUCUUUAAAUGGAAGCAGAUACUUUAUUUUAUUUAUUGAUGAUUACUCCAGGUAUUGUUGGGCAUACUUUCACCGGAGUAAGUAUGAAGUACUCUCAAUAUUCCAGAAAUAUAAAGUUGCAGCAGAAACUGAAACAGGCUGUAAACUCAAGACCCUUAGGUCUGAUAAUGGAACAGAGUAUACUUCAUCCCGGUUUAAUAUCUUCUGUGAUGAAGCUGGCAUUAGACACCAGCUCACCAACACUUAUACACCUCAACAAAAUGGUGUAAGUGAAAGGAAGAACAGGAGCUUGAUGAAUAUGGCCAGAUGCUUAUUGUUUGAGAAAAAUUUGUCUAAGACCAUGUGGGCUGAAGCUGUCAACAGUGCUGUCUACAUUCAGAAUAGGCUUCCAACCAAAGCACUUGCUCACAAGACACCUUUUGAAGCCUGGUUCAGGUUCAAGCCAUCAUUAGCUCAUAUAAAAGUCUUUGGUUGCCUAUGUUACAGCCAAAUACCAGCUGUAAAGAGGGAUAAGUUGUCCAAAAGCUAUUCCUGGUAUUUUAACUGGGUAUAGUAUGGUUAAGAAGGGCUACAGGAUUUUGGACCCUUUAACAAACAAAAUUCAUGUAAGUAGAGAUGUGAUCUUCGAUGAAAAAGGAUGCUGGAAUUGGGAAAAGAAUGAGCCAGAGGCUGUUUCUGAAGAGCUGAUGGCUGAUCAUGCUGAACCUAAUCAAGUUAGUCCUGAAAUGGACAUUGAUGACAUGCCAGUCAGAGGCACUAGACCUUUGGCUGAAAUUUAUGAAAGAGCACAAGUUGCCAUAGUGGAGCCAUGCAGUUUUGAAGAAGCUGAAGCUGAUAAAGGCUGGAAACAGGCAAUGGUUGAUGAAAUUGCCAUGAUUGAGAAGAACCAGACAUGGGAAUUGGUUCCUAGGCCAGACAACAGGAAUGUUAUUAGAGUAAAAUGGGUCUAUCGAGCCAAGCAGAAUGCAGAUGGGAGCCUAAACAAGCUCAAAGCCAGGCUAGUUGUGAAAGGCUUUAGCCAAAAGUAUGGCCUGGACUACAUGGAAACAUUUGCGCCAGUGGCCAGGCUAGACACCAUAAGGUUACUGGUUGCCUUGGCAGCUCAGAAGCAGUGGAAAAUCUACCAGCUUGAUGUGAAGUCUGCAUUUCUUAAUGGCUUCCUUGAAGAAGAGAUCUACAUUGAUCAGCCACAAGGAUUUGUUGUGUUUGGCAAAGAACAAAUGGUGUACAGGCUUAAGAAAGUAUUAUAUGGCCUAAAACAGGCUCCCAGAGCCUGGUAUGCUCGAAUUGACAGCUACUUGGUCAGUUUGGGAUUUAACAGAAGUGUUAAUGAGCCAACACUAUAUGUCAAGAAGAAUGAAGCUGAAAUACAACUUAUUGUAUCCUUCUAUGUCGAUGACCUUUUGGAGACUGGAGGAGAUCAAGAUAUGUUGGCUGAAUUCAAAGCCAAAAUGAUGGACAUGUUUGAAAUGUCUGACUUGGGGCUAAUGACAUACUUUUUGGGAAUGGAGGUGCGCCAAAUAGAAGGAAAAAUCUUCUUGGUACAGAGAACAUUUACCUUGAAGGUUUUGUCCAAGUUCUCGAUGGAGAAUUGUAAGCCAACAAGCACUCCUAUUGCUGUUGGAAUGAAGCUGUCAAGCCAAGGAGAUCAUGAACCAGUCAAUGAGUCUACUUACAGGAGCCUAGUUGGCUGCUUGUUAUAUUUGACAGCAACUAGGCCAGAUAUCUUGUUUGCUAUGAGUAUGUUAUCAAGGUUUGUGCAUUGCUGUAAUGUCCAACACUUUCAAGCAGCAAAGAGAGUGCUAAGGUACAUCAAAGGCACUCUUGACUAUGGUGUGUUAUUCAACAAAGCUGAAACCUUGAAGUUGAAAGGCUAUACCGAUAGUGACUGGGCUGGUUCAAGUGAUGAUAUAAAAAGCACAUCUGGAUAUGCUUUUACCCUUGGCUCAACCAUAUUUUGUUGGAGCUCAAAGAAACAAUCGAUUGUGGCUCAAUCAACAGCAGAAGCUGAAUAUGUUGCAGCUGCAAAUGCUGUAAAUCAAGCCAUAUGGCUGAGAAAAAUUCUAGCUGAUCUUAACCUACAUCAAAGGGAGGUAACAGAGAUCUUUUGUGACAACAAGUCUGCUAUUGCAAUUGCAAAGAAUCCUGUCUUCUAUGGCAAAACGAAGCACUUCAUCAUCAAGUUACAUGUGAUAAGGGAGAUAGAACAAGCUCAAGAGGUGGAGCUGAUUCAUUGCAAUUCAGAGGAGCAGGUUGCUGACAUUUUCACAAAGGCCCUUGGUGUGUCAAGGUUUAUAAAACUAAGAAAGCAGCUAGGUGUUACAAGCAUGGAAACUAAGGAGGAGUGUUGAAGUUAGUUCCCAUGCAAGACAUGCAGCUCAUGCAGAUUAAUGCACAUACUUUGCCCGGGUAAAGUAUGUGCAAAAAUUCAUACACAUAAGUUACCCGGGUAAAAUACAUGCAACAGAAGAUGUUAAUGCCACUGUUUGUUCUCUGUUACAUUUUGUUACUUUCUAACUAUGUUUUUUCUUAAUUAGUUCAUUUUGAAUUAUGUUUAAAUGACAAGUUGAUGUAACUUGAUAGUUAAAGAGCUGGUUACCAGCUUUGUUCAAGUGUACAAGUUUAGUUUUGUAAGUUCCAAUGUAAUAAGUGGAGUUAGGUAGUGUUUAGGUGAUGAAUUUGACCAGCUAAUGACUAGUAUAUAUAAUGGCUUUGAGCCAACGUUUCUUUUGAAUGAAAUCAUCAGAUUUUCUUCCAUAUGCUCCAUCUUUCUUUGCCUUCUAAAAACUUCUAAGUUCUGUUCUUCAUUCUUGACAGUAGCUAAAAGCUUGAACUCCGAGCAUUUUUCCUUCAUAUUUUAUCCGGGUAUAAUACGUUGCUAUUAAAGCUUUUGUUGAAGCUCUUACUUUACCAGGUGAAAGUGCUCAAAUCCCCAACAUGAAGUCCUGGAGAACUGCUUUGAUUGCUACUACUGCCAAUUUAUCCGGUCCUUGUUACAACUAGAAAUAAACAAAUGCUUAUACAGAAUGGCAUUGAUCUUAUUUAUGAAAUGGAGAAAUUUGAUGAAGAUGAAUCAGUUCAGCUAUUCUGUCAAUGUGCCUUCAAAAGCAAUUAUCCCACGAGAUAUCAGGUGGAGCUAUCGAAGAUGGUUUUAAGUGUUACAAAUGGAAACCCCUUGGUUAUAAAAGUUAUUGGAUCAUCACUAUUAGAAUUGACUAUUAGAAUUGAGUGACCUGAAUCCUUACUAAAAUAAAAUAAAGUGUAACGUAUAAUUUAACACAAAUAUUUAUUUACUUCAGUGGUUAAGUGUUAUAGGUAUGUGCAUGAGGUUUCAAGUUCAGUUCAAAUUUUACCUUUAGCAAAUUUAGGUUAUUUUUAGGUUAUCUACUUCAGUGGUUAAGUGUUAUAAGUAUACCUUUGUCAAAGUUCUAUGUUCGAAUUCUUGCAUGGGUAUGAAUUUUUGAUUUUUAGGUUAUCUACUUCGGUUAAGUGUUAUAUUUUUGUUAAGGUUCUAUGUUCGAAUUCUUGCAUGGGUAUGAAUUUUUGCGCAGUGGAAUGAUAAGAGUUCGGUGUUUCUAGGAUUCUGAGCUACAAAAAGGAUGGACAGGGCUCGGUUGGUACGGAAAACUCUGGUGAUGCUACAAAAGAUUGUUCUCCGACUGCUAAUAAACACUUUAAGCAGUUGUGUCUUGUAAGCGGUAAAAUAGAGUUUCCCCUCAAUUUUUUGGAUUCAUGUUCGUCCUAUUGAUGAUAAGCUUGCAAGAGGGUCAUCUUCAGGUCAGGAAAAAAAAGCACAAGAAAGUUAUGAUGGUUUAAGUUUUUAGAGUUUUCAGCAUCUGAUAGAUCAUUUAUGUUAUGUUGCAUGCUGUGGCAGGGGCCCCUGAGAAACAAAGUAUUGUGGACAGAAUGAGGACAAUAGCUUUGAAGCUUGAGUUUGGGAUAUCAAAGAACCAGAUCUAUGACACGUAGUGCCUCUCCUUAUAUAUAUAUUUUAGUUUUUCUAUACAUUUGAGUAUGAAUUCUCUUUCUCUCACUCACUCACAUUCACAAAACACCCACCAGCAUCUAUAUAAGCUCUCAACAUAGUCUCUCAUAUCUUGUUUAUCUGGCUUUUUACUGGUUUUGUAUUUGAAUUCUUAACUUUAUUAUGUGAUCUACUCUAAUGUACAGAACCAUAGCUCUGCAUUUCAGUGAUCCUUUCCAUGUGAGCACAAGAGUCGCCAAUCAAUGCAAUGAUAGUACUUUGCUUUUGCAGGUUGUAUGUCCUUGGUUUCAAACACAUUUGUGUAUGUAUGCUUCUUUUGGAACAUGUUAAUGAAGUGAACAUAAUUUAUAAAUAUAAGAGCUUAAACUCCUCAUGUCUUGAUUUUCUUAGAUAUUGGAGAUUGCAUUGAACAGUUUAUUAAGUGACUAUAAUUUAUAAAUAAUUUUAUUGAAAGUAGUAUUACUUUUGUCUGAUUUUGUCUGAUCUACUUUUGAUGCUUAUCUUCAGUUGUCAGAUGACAUGCUUGACCUUGAUGUAUAGCAUCCACAAAUGUGAUAAGCUUAUACCUUUUAAUGGCAUUACUCAACCAGUGACUAUACCACUUCAUAUGAAAUAAUCUGGCAGUGCAUGUUGAAUUAAAAAUUUAUUGUAUGUGGUAAAGUAGAUGUAUGUGCUGCACGUGAAUAGGAGAGGUUGUUUCAAUCUUACCAUUCAUGUUUUAUGCUGAAAACUACAUUCUCAUUCUUUUCUUUUAUGCUUUGCAAAAGUUUUUUCAUUAAUAAAAUAGAAAACCCCAGCAAUGUCUCUGGAGAAUACAAUGCUAAUGAAAGAAACGAAACAAUAGGAUCAUCACAUCAACCACACCAAUUUAUCUUCCGCCAAACAAUCACAAUUCUUACAUAUUUUGGCUCAUCAACCGGCAGAUCAUAUUUUGCAUGAAGCUCAUGUUGGUUAAUGUCAUUUCCAGGUAACUCUACACUCCCAAGCGAAUGCCACAUUGUCUGUUUACGAUGCUUGGCUUAACCUUCACGAUGGAUUUACACAUGCUGGACAAGGUAAUGGAAGACCUAUUUCUGCAUUCUUUCCACUCGUCAUAUCUCCAAGUUCAAGAGCUGGACUCCUAUUCUGUUUAUGCUUGGAGAAGAGAACUGCUGAAGGUAUCGACUUUUCCUUUUUUUAUCGUAUGAGGGUAUAUGGCUGUAGGCUUCUAUUUCUUUGACUCUUGUUUAUUCAAAUUAAAUUCAUCGAACUCUAUAUGUUAUACCCUCUCAGAGAAGCUGUACCCUCUCACAUUGUCUCAUGAAAAUCAAUCAAUCUCUUGCUUUACAGAUGAAAAUAAGGUACCACUAGAAAACAUAUUAAACAUAAGAUAUGAAAUUUCUGGUGACAGGACCAUUGGGGCACACCCACCUGUGGCUAUGAAAUCGAAUGAAAAUGAUGAGGAUACUAGUAAGAAUUUAGUCUUCAAGAGUGCUCUUUUUCUGCAGCAGCCUGUCCUUAGUCCAUGCCUGGCUGUAGGAUUUCUACCUCUUCCUUCCGAUAGUAUUCGAGUUGGGCAACUUGUUACCAGGAAAUGGAGGGUUGAAAGGUUGAAAGACAUUGAGGAGAAAAGAGUUCCUCAAAACAAUGUAAGUUAAAACAAUCUUAUCAUUCACCAAUUCAGUCGGGUAUAAGCAUGAACCCAUGCACCAGAAGUCGAGUUAAAUUUUGGCAUAUUACUAGUUAAAAAAGACCCACAUCACCCAAGGCUUAACAUAAUUGAUUCAUUUAGUCACACCUAAGAGGUUGCAUUUAACAGAUUUGGGGUUCGGAUCCUAACAACUGCAAUCCUUCCCUCUUUCCCCAGACUCUGGCCUGCUUUGUAGAAGGAAAAUUCUUAGAGAAGCUAUUAGUGAAUACUGUGCAACGCUAGAGAAGCUAUUAGUGAAUACUGUGCAACGCUUCUACUUUUUGUUUACAUUCAGCUACUACAAAUUAUGUUUUAUAAUGACAGGACAAGAUGUUAUAUGAAAUCAAUGCAAAUUCUGAUAAAUGGAUGAUUGCUGGGAGGAAAAGAGGGCAUGUUUCUCUUGACAUGAAGCAAGGUUUACGAACAACUUCCCUAUUUACCUUUUAAUACCGAUUCCUAUGCUUUGCAGUUAAGCAGAAAGCAUUAAUAUUUCAUUUCUGUUGCUUGAAAUUGUCAUUUCUUUCCAGGUUCAAGGAUAGUUAUUUCCAUAUUAUGCAUGCCCCUUGUUGCUGGAUACAUCCACCCUCCUCAUCUUGGGCUUCCGGGUAUCGAUGAAGUGAGUAUAAGCUGCAGUUGUGCCGGAUGUCACCUGGUUUGAGUCUUGCCUCCUGCUCCUAGUUCAUCCUUCUGUGUUCCAGCAUGAUUUUCCUGGCUUCUCUAAUCAGGUCAUAAUUUUCGGCUUUCAAAGUAGAUUCCAUUCAGCGAAAAUCUAAGUUCGAGAUAAAAUUCAUGUCUCUGUUUUGAUUUUGCUCAAUUUUUGCAAGUUUUCAACUUUUGGAAGAAAAAAAAUCAAGAGAACUUAGUUGAUUUAGAUCAGAAUAGAUAGUUCCUUCAAUGCCUUCAAUAUCAGUACAUAUACAAAAAACUGUGUAAUAGCUGUGGACAACACAUUAUGCAUAUCAAUGCGAUUCAAUUCCAUUUUGAGUUCAUAUUCUCAUCAUGUUUUUUUUUCCAAAGUCAUGUAUAUUACAUGACUCUUAAUUUUUAUUAAAGCACUUAUGUCCAAUGUUUAUGCGGGGCACAUUUUUUUGGCGUAUGCACGGGAAUAUGAUUCUCCAAGAAUUUUUCAAAUAUAUAGAAUGUAACGACCCUAACUCGAAUCCAUCACCGAAAUAGAGUUACGGAGCAUUACUAGAGUUACCGAUUUAUUUAUCAGAUAUUUUAUUUCAUCUAACGUUCAUAUUUUGAACCAAUUAAAAUCAAACAUAUUGUCCCCUAAACGUACUUAUUUUUCUCGACAUGUUUUACUUGAAUUUAUUAGUCUCAAUAUACUUAAUUUCCUUGUAUCAACGUAUCAAAGAUAAUCAAAUAUUUACAUGUCAUGAUAAAUAUUAUUCUCUUGCCAUUUCUUCAUAAACAUAAAUCAAGUAAUUCAAUAUAUCGAUAUUUCAUGCAUUUAAAAAUACAAUUCAAGUUACACUAACUUACCUCGUUGCUUGUUCAUGUUUAUAAUUUCAUUAAUCUGAUAUCUUUUAUUUUCCACGUUCAAGUCUCGUAUUCGAGUCAUUUGGAUCUUUAUAAAUAAAUUUGAUCGUCGUUUUCAUUUAUUUCAUGUUGUAAUACAUUCAAUUAAUGCUCUAAAUAAAAUUACCAUUUUACCCCUAAACUUUUAAUUAAUGACGAUUUUAUCCUUAGGCUCUAAAAAAUAAAAUUCUUGCAAUUUAAUUUUUAUUUUCAGCCGUUAUUCUCAUACAAAUUGAUAACAAACCAUGAAUUCUAUAAAAUAUCAGAAUUUUCCAUAAUUUCAAAACUUUUCAAUUUAAUCCUUAAAACAUGUUUUUUUCCCGAUCUUAAACUAAAUUAAUAAUUUUAUUCAAUUUUGCAAUUUUAAAUAAUAAAAUAAUCCAUUUCAUGCAAAUUGGUCAUUUCUAACAUUUUUAUAAAAUUGCUCAUAAAUUUUUACUUUUAUUCAAUUUAGUCUCUGAGCCUAAAACAUACAAAUUAGCCAUGCUAGCUGAAUAUUCAUACAUAUUUUCCUCCUCAUCCUCUCCAUUCCACAUCCUUAAUUUAUAUAACAUGCUACAAAUAACAUUAUUAAUAAUUUCACUAUUUACUUAUAUGUAUAUUCAAAACUGUCCAUUUGAGUCAUAGUCACUAAAUUAUUUAUAUCUUGAGAUACAGAACUCAAAAUAAAGAUCCGCUAAUUUUCCAUGAAACUAGACUUACAUAUCUUCUUACCAUAAAAUUUUCAGAAUUUUUGGUUUAGCCAAUAAGUAUAGUUUAUUCUUUAAAGUUACCUCUGUUCUGUUGUCUGACAGUUCUGACCAUUCUUCACUAAAAAUUAAUUAUCUCCUCGUACAAGAUUCAAAUGAUGUUCCCGUUUGUUCCUCUUGAAAUUAGACUCAUUCAUGAUUCUAAAAAUAUAAAUUUAAGCCCUUAAUUAUUUUUUUCCAAUUUUUGAUGAUUUUCCAAAGUCAGAACAGGGGAACCCGAAAUCAUUCUAACCUUGUCUCAUAAAUUUUAUUAUAUCUCACAAUUUACAAUUCCAUUGCUUACACCAUUUCUUCUAUGAAAAACUAGAGUAAAUUUAAUUUCAUAUUUUAUUCAACCUCUAAUUUAAUUUACACAAUUUUUGGAGAUUUUCCAAAGUUUGACUACUACUGUUGUUUAAAACUGUUUUAGUGCAACAUAUUGGUUACCAAGUUUAUAACACCCUUAUUUCUAUUCUCUACCAUAUUUCCCAUCAUUUUCUCUUAUUUUCCUUCACUAAUAUAUCAAAAACAUAGAGCCUUAUAUAAGAAAACUCUACCUUAACAUCAUUUUCAUGCUUUUGAUAUUACCUUACAUGAAAACUCUACUUAAAAUAUAUUGAAAUCUUAAAGUUCUUAGCUUGUCCUAUUGAUUUCAAUCUUUAACCUGAUUUUUCUCUCUCCUUCAGCUUCUGUUUCUUGAAUCCAACUUGAUAUUCUAACUCCCCUUAGUCUUCUUAACAAUUUUCUCUCUUGGUAGCUAUGAAAAUUCUUUUGAUUUCUAGGUGAAAAUGGUGAAUUUUUGGUGGGAGGACUAAAUUAUAAAGAAAGGAAAGUUUCUUCUUCUCUUUUCUUUCUAACGUGGGAUGCAUGGAAAUAGAUGGUGUUGUUCCCUUUUCUUUUUUUUCCACACACACAUAUAUAUAUACUAAAUAAAAUAAUAAAAUAAUAAUAAAUAUCUUAUUAAAUAUUAAUAAAAUAAUAUUUUUCUAAUUAAAUAAUUAUAAAAUAUCAUCAACAUCAUCAUUACUUUCUAGCUUUCUCUCUCUUUCAAUUGGCCAUUUUACCCUUCGUGAUCUUUUAAAAUUCCAUCAUUGAGUUAUCACUUAAUUUGAUAAAAUUAUUAUUUAGUCCCUCAUAAUUCUUUACCUAUUCAAUUUAGUCCUAAUUCAUCAAUUUUUCUUAGUUUCUAUACCAUUCCACCCAUAAAAUAUUUACACUAUUGGUCUUUUAACUUUUUUAUAUUUACACUUCAACACCUUAAAUUUUGAGUAUUUACUCUUGGGCAACAAAACUUUUUUCACUUUUACAAUUUAGUCAUUUCUUGAAUUAAUAUGUCAUAAUAUACUUCCCAAUGACAUAACUCAAAUUUCAUCUUCUUGUCACUUUAUUUCCUUAUUUUACUAUAUCAAUGAUAAUAUUUUAUUGUAGAAAUUUUCGGGGUGUUACAUAGAAAAAAUUGAAAAAGAUUGAAAAUGCCUGUGUUAGACAUAUACUUGUAUUUGAUAUUUCAAAUCCACUCAUACUUGUAUAUGAUACUAAAAUUUGAGUCCAAGCAACCAGAUGUUCAUCAUCCCAAACCUAUUCUUGUUUAAUAAAUUGCAAACUAGUUUUUAUCAUUUCAUAGGAGAAUACUACUAAACAUUUGCUUAAACUGGGCAUUGAAAUUUCAUUAUAAGUUUUUUUUUUAAAAAACGAGAGAGAUAUCUCAUUGAAGGAGCAUUUGAAUGUCCAUGAUGUUAUCUUACAAAUUCUAUAUUCAUAUAUCGCCUGAAGCUUCAUUUGUUCCACCUACUGUAUGAAUUUACAUAUAACACGAUAUUAUCAUUAUUUAUAAAUAAUCACAAUUAAGCAAAGGCUGUGGAGCUAAUCCUUUGAAAGUUUGACAGGAUAACUAGGAUGCUCCACUAUUAAAAUGUUUUAGAGAGUAUCACUUGAAAGUUUAGAAUACGAAUACUGUUAAAGAGUACACUUCUUAAUAUUUCUUAAAUUGUUAAGUCUUCCUUCUUGAUUAAACAAAAAACACAUCAGCAUACAAAUAACAAUGUGGGAGUAAGUUUCAUAUAGUGUUUGUAACUCCCCUAGUUAGGUUGAACAAUGUCAUUUUAAUCCUUCUCAAUUGUUAAGUAUUCAAUUUAAGCCUUUUGAAACAAGAUUUUUACUUUUACCCUCCCAAACUUCUAAAAUUUUAUUUCAUCCCCAAUACCAAAUUCGUAGUUUCUCCCCUUGCUUAUAAAUGUGUUCUCUAAUCUCUCUCUCCCACCAUAUCCUUUACUUCAGCAUGUUGACCCCAUUUCCUUUAUAACCACUUUUUGAUAACUUCAUUCAAAGAUCUAUAAGUAAAGGUUUGAAUGUUUCAUUUGGAACCUUUCCUUCUUUUAGCAAAUUUAAAAUUUUAAAAUUCUCUUUAUAACUUUUUCUUUGCAAUCAUUACAAUCACUACAUAUUUCAUCAUCCUUAACAAUUUAUCCCUUGUCACAACUAACUACUACCACAUUUGUGGCAAUGUUAGUAAUCCCAUAUGUUAAGAAAUACAUAAUAUAAAGAAUUUAAAUAAGAAAUUAUUUACAACUUGAGUAAUUGAGCUAGGUGCUUAACCCACUAGGUAUUUGAGCUUAUUUAUGACAUUUUUUGCGCAACUAUUCAUUGCCUUUAUAAGACUCAAUUCAAUUUUUCAUUUUUAUCAUUAAGUGCUAGGAAUGAACUUCUACUCAAAGUUCUAAGACAAAUUUAAGGAAAAAAUCUUAAAAACUAAAGCUCGAUCUCGUAAUUAAAUCUGGGUUUGAGAGUACGUUUACGUGUAGAAAAGGUUAUAGCACUCUUACAAUGUCUAUCUAAAGAUAUUUCUAUAGAGCUUGAAGUUUAGGGUUUCUAAUAGGGGCGAAUUUAGGGGGGCUGGCAGGGCACGACAUGGACACUACAAAAUGUCUAGAUUAGUAGGGCCCAAAAUAGGUCCUGAUUUUAUUUAAUUCCAGUCAAUUUGAUUUGAUUUUAAUCAAAUGAAUUUAAUUGCUCCUUAAUGCAGAUUUUGUAUCAUCCAUGUUGAAUGCCUAUAAAAGACUAAGACUUCUUCAGAAUUUUUUGCAAAAUUACACUUUCUCACGCCAAGUUCAUUUUGCUCUUCAAAAUUCUUCUCUUUUUCUCUUUACAUUUUUCAAUGUUUCGGUGAUAAAAAAAGUAAUGUUUGUUCGUUGAUCACUGCAGAUGUGCUACCGCUUCAAUCAUCGUGUUGUUGUAUCCUGGAAGGCAGUUGACCAACAUUUCUCCAAGUACUGGAGGAGCGGCCGGAUUUGUCUUAAGAAAAUUGUGUAAAACAUGCCUCAACAUCUAGUAAAACUCGAUAUCUGAUAAUUUAAAUAUAAAUUAUUCAAUUUAUAUUUUAUUUUAUAUAUAAAUAUUUAUUUAUUUAUAUUUAUAUAUUUGUUCGCUAACAUGUUUUGUCUAAUAUCAUCCAUGUUUAUUUUUUUCUCUUAAAUUCUUUAAAUCUUUGAUAUAUAUAUAAUAUAUGUUUUGUUUUUUUCGUUUGUCACACUAUUAGUUUUGAUUUUGAAAGAAGAUUCUACUAUGUAAUACGUGUAUAUAAUUGAGUGAACCAGGUAUUGUGGGGGUUGUAAGGCAAGGAACAAAAAAGAGCUUCAACUGGUAAAAUAUGGCCAUCUCUCUCUCUCUCUCUCUCUCUCUCUCUCUCUCUACACACACAUACGUAUAUAUAAUAUGCAUUUUUUAAAUGGGUUUGUAGAUUCUGCUUUUUUUAAUGGAUGGAUUUCUUGAGUUUUCUUGGGUUAGUUCAACAUGUUGUAGGCAUCAUAUAAAAUUCCCUCUUAAAUGGAAAGGCAGGGAAAUUUUUUACCGGAAACAGGAGGUUGAGAAUGAAUUUCUCAACAAAAGAGUUAUGAAAAAGUAUCAAAAGUUUAAUCUCAACGUGAUAAAUAUUCAAAUAAUCUCAUUAAAUCAUUCAAAAUUAUCUUUCAAAAAUCUGCCUCAUGGAUAUAUUUAAACUUCUGUGCUAAUUCUUAAGCCCUACAUUAAUGCUUCUAGUUUUUCAGCUUAAUCUUUUUUAAUGCAGUUAUAAGUAUUGAGUUCGCAAAAUUUUAGACUCAUUUUCUAGAUUUAGCUUUAAAAAAUGAGUUUAAAAUUUUGUUCAAGCCCGUCCAGAUAAAAAUGCUAGAAUCAAGUUCAGCUCGGUUUGUUUGUAUUAAAUUUUUAUAUGAAAAUAAAAUUAAAAUAUAAUAUAUUAAAAACACUAAAAAUAUUAAAAUAAAUAUUUUAUACUUAAAUAACAUUAAAUUAAUUACAAAGUAGCAAGUAAAUGCCUCUAAAAUAGUAGCAAAAUUAAUAAUAAAAUAAGAGUUAUAUAAUAUCCAAACAAUAACAACAAACAGUAGUAAAAUGACAAUAAAAUAACAACAAAAUAAUAGUAAACAAAACUAUUUUGUUAUAUCCAAACUAAUACCAACCCAACCCGUUUCAUUAAUAAAAUAUGAGCAAUUAACCAACCAGCAAAACUACUUGUUACAAAUAACAUAUUGUUGUUGCAUCGAAACAUAUAAAUGUUGACUAAUCUAGCUAACAUUGAACUUGAUAAAAUGAAAUGGUUGAAUAAUUGAAUAAUGAGAUUAUUCAAUAAUAGACAUUAAAUGCUAAAAUUACGCAUUGGACAUCUAUGAUUAAAAAAGUCUUUGUGAUUGUUCCAGAAGAAAUAAAAUAAAAGAUACAAUAGAGCUAGGACAUUUAUUAUAUGAGGUUUAUCGAAUGCUAAAUGCAGAGGUAUAUGAAAAAAAAUUUAGGCAAAUCAGGUCGAAUUAAGCCCAUUUAAAAAAUAAACUUUAUUUUUUGUUUAAACUCAUUUUUUAAACUUAUAUUUUUACUUAAACUCUCUCAUUUUUUUAGUAAACUUUAAGAUUUAAUUUUACUCAUUGGAUCUCAUCAAUUUCGUUUGCACCUCAUUUCAUCACAAUCUUCAAAUUCAUUAGAGAAAAAGAAAUAGUUGAUUUACCAAAAAAUGGAACAUGUUUAAAACAAUUAUUUUCUCCAAAAAGGUAGUUGUGUUCUGGUGGUUGAGAUGGUUUUAGAAAGUUGACUAUAUAUAUAUAUAUAUAUAUAUAUAUCGAAUUUAGAUUUAAACAAAGUAUAAAGAAGAUGAUUUCAAAUAUUUAAUUUGCGUGUGAAAUAGGAGAGGAUGUGAAAAGAAGAAACCUUAUGUAGGAAUGUAUUGAGUUAAAAAGAAUGGUAAAUUAUACCAAUUCUCACCAACUUUGAUAAAAUAAUACAAUAGUUACAAUACUUUCAACUUAUUCACUAAAAUUUUAAAAAAUAACAACAGUAACCAACUAACAUGAAAGGUCUUAAUUUUUGAGGAAAAACGGACAGUGUGGGCAGAAAAAAAGAAGAAAGUAGUAAAUUGGGAUUAAUUAAGAAUUUUAGGGAAAAGAGUUGGGGGACGAUUGAAAUUUUCAGGGUCUUUGUUGAACAAUUGCUCUAAGGUUUGACGAUUAAAAUUUAGGAGAAAAGCGACCGGGAGAAAAAAAAAACAACAAAAGGGAGAAUGACUGAAGAGAAAAUUGAAAAAAUUUAACAUGUUUUCUCCCAACAAAUCCAACAAUGUAAGAAACCCAUAUUUGAAUACCUUCUAUAUUGGAUAGACAUGUUACUAGCUUUCCAAAUAGCAAUCUUUUCAAAAGUUUCAAUUGGAAGUACAAAGUGUUUGUUAGGAGGAUUACAAUGCCCACCACCUUCCACCGUGAACCCAUAAUUUUGAGCACAAAAAUUAGUGGCGGUGACAAUGAUAGAUAUUCUGGGUAUACAACUCUGCAAGUCGUCCAUACACCUUAAAUCGAAAUAAGCACCGCAGAUCUAUCCACGUUGAAACAAAGCCUCACUUAAACCCACAAUUGCCAUACCAUAACCAGCCUUGACAAGAUCUCCAUACCCACAAGCACUGCUGACGGCGUUGCGAGGAUCCAAUGUGGCGUAGUAAUUGGUGCAUGUGGAGUGCCAGACGGUGGACUGUGGCCUCUAUGGGGAAGAAGAGAAGGUGCCUAUUUUACUAAAUUGGUCUAAAAAUUUUUGAUAUUUAUAAAAAUAACCCAGGUUCAAAAACAAUCACUAAAAUGACCUGAAAUGAACAGUAGAAUGGGAUUUUGGCCUGUCAAUGGCCGACACUAACUCGUAUUUUGCACCCAUGAUUGUUUGAUGAUUGUGUCAGGCUUUAAAAAAUUAAUUUUUUUAAUUUUGGCCUGUCAAUGGCCGGCACUAAGAUAUUUUUUUUAAAAAUCGUAUUAUACUGAUAUACAAAAAUACCAAUAUUUAAAAAAAAAAUUGGUGCUGGCCUGUCAAUGGCCGGCACCAGUAUUUAAAAAAAAUUAAAUUUUUUUGGUGCUAGCCUGUCAAUAGUCAGCGAGUUUUUUUAAAAAAAAUAAUAUGAAAAGAAAAUAAUAAUAUAAAAAAAAUAAUAUGAAAUGAAUUGAAAAAAAAUUGAAAUGAAAUAAUUGAAAUUAAAUUAAAUUAAAAGAAAAAGGUUGACAAGACUCAUCUAUAACGCCCGUGUCAGGCCUAUAUCACAGGCCAAAUUGGCCGACCAUUUCAUACUUUUUUUUUUUCAUUUCAUAUUUUUUUUCUAAUUUUGCCCUUGAAGCCAAAUAGUCCCCCACUAUAAAUAGGCUAUUCCGACGACCAUCAACGAUCACCGACGACCACCGAGCACCUCCAGACACCUCCGACAAUCACUAUUCACCGCCGACGACUGCCAAUCACUCUACCAACCGGUUCAAACCACAACUUAGUUGCGAAAUAAACACCAUUGCACCAUAAAUUAUGUCCAUCUGCGUUGGAUAACUUGAUUAACAAUCUAUGGCACAAAUAAUCAUUCAACCCUUAAUGGCAUAACCUUUAAGGUGGACAUGGCAGUAUAUAAUUCAACUUCGUUAAAAUAUGACAGUAUAUAAUUUAACCCCAAAAUUCGAUUGUACACUACGAAAAACUCCCAUCUACAAUCUACUAUAAAAAAAAAACUCAUUUGAUGAUAUACUACAAAAACACUCUCAUUUUGAUAGCUCUCUAAAUUUUUUUGUUCUCAUUCCGUUUACACUAUCAGAACCUAAACCACCUACUGUAUAUAAAGUAGGGUGCCGACAGGCCAACACCAAAAAAAUUUAAAUUUUUUUUAAUACUGGUGCCGACCAUUGACCAGCCAAUACUGUGGCAGACCCAUUUUGCCCAGGCCUUUGAAAUUAUUUACAACAAAUAAAUAAAUAAAUAAACUAAAUAAAAUUAAAUUGUUUGCAGUCAUAAAAUACAAACCCAAACUUGAGACCUAAAACCAAGAAUAAACCGGACCCAACAAAUAACCCAAAUCCCAGCCCAAAACAAAAAAAACUACUCAGCAAACCCUAAGAGCUUCAGUUGCUGCAGCCUCCAACUGCCUCCUCCACGCCAGCACGCCCACAAACAGCUUCACUCUAUGCCAUACACACCUGCAAAACGGAAUAACAAAUAGCAAUUGACAGCAAAGGAAUAAGAAUAACAAGGAUUUUUUUUAUUUUCUUUUUCUUUUUAUUUUUAUUUAUUUUUCGGCUAUAAAACUGAAUGAAAGGAUGUAAAAGGGGAAGGGACGAGUCUAUACAAAAUCGAUUCAAAAGUUUGAAUAAAAAGAGAAACAGUCUCUAAGAGGUGAUUUGAGAUUUCAUUUUUUCCUUUUCGAUUUUGUUUUUUUUCUUUGAUCUUCAUUGUUGUGCAUAAAAUAUAAAAUAAAUAAAAGCCUAAACACUUAUCUGUUAGAAGGAGCCUUAGAAUCCCUGUUUACUUUGUUGAAAUUGAAGCUCAAUGGGGAUUCAAGUGGUCUGAUUUGAUGAUAUGGAGGCAAAGAGUGAAGAACCUUUUGGUUCAGUCGACUAAAGGGGAAAAGGGGUUGAAAGGGGAAAAGGGGUUGAAAAUUUUUGAGAGAAGGGUUUUGAAAGUUGUUUUGAGAAGAAUAAUCGGUCAGAGGUUAUUAUGGCCUUGCCUUUUCACCUUAAAAGGUCAAUUUUCGCGUCGAGUCCCUCUUAUUCUACAUUUAUUUGUUUUUCAGCCUUGAUUCUGUUUAUUUGUUUUUACAUUUUUCCUGUGAUUUAUGCAUUGCUACAAUUUGGUCCUUGUUUAAAUGCUGCGUUUCAAAGCUUGGGAUAUUUGUAUUUUAGAUCCCUGACCAUUGGUGCAUGUUUCAUCUUAAUUUAAUCUUUGGUUUUGUUAAUUUUAUUUGUUUAUAGAUCGUUCUCUUAAUCUUAUUUUUAUUUCAAUCGAGUUUUUAUUUACUUAUUUAUGUUCUUAUUCAUUUUUAUUUAAGAUUUUAUUAUUUGUUUUCUAAAAUUAUCUUAAUAUAGUUUUAAAUAUUGCUUUAAUUUGUUAUUUCAUUCAUUUGUAUAAUUGUUUUAUUAUGUAAAAUUUCUAUUUUAAAGUUUUCUUUAUACAUGUAUUUUUGUAUUCGAAAUUUAUACAUUAUACAUUAUAUAUUAUUUUAAAUUUUAUAUUAUGCAUUAUUUUUAUAUAUAUUGUUGAUUUCAUAUUAUUUUAUGUAUACAUCACUUCUUGAAUUUAUUCACAUACAUAUAUAUUUUUUAUAUAUUUAUACAUAAGCUAGCUCUUUUAAAAAGUCUAUUUUAUUAUAAAUAUAUAUUAUUUUCAACACUUUCAUAUGUUAUUUUAUACAUAUAAUUUUUUUAAAAUCUAUUUGUAUAUAUAAUUAUGUUUUUAAAAUUUAUUACAUAAAUAAUUUAUGAUAAAAUUAAGUUAAUCUUAUAAUACAUAUUUUAAUUCCAUGUCAUUUUAGCAUACAAUUGUUUCUAAAAUUUAUUCACAAACACGUAACUCAUAUUAAAUUAUUUUUAUUAUAGUCCACGCCAUUGAUUUCAUAUUAUUCCAUGUAAAUAGUUUUCUAUGUAUUCCUUUAAAGUUAUUUAUGUGUAUAAUUUAUUUCUUUUAAGGACUAUAUUUAAGUUGUACAAUUUACUUAUUUUACGAACUUCCAUAUCUUAUUAUUUUUGUGCAUAUAUCAUCAAUACGUAUCAUUAAUCCAAAAUUAAUUUAUUUCAUAUAAAAUUAUUUUAUACAUUGCCUAUUUCAAAAUUCUUUUUACACAUACAUACAUAUAUUAAAACAUAUGCUUGAUUUAUAAGCGUCAGUUCAUACAUGUUAUACCUAUAGUUUUUGCAUACAUAAUUAUUAUAUACUAUUGAUCUCAUGCUAUUUUUUACAAAUAAUUAUUUCUAUGUACAUAUGCAUGUUUUGUAAAUUUAUUAUCAUGUAUUUUAUUAUUCUUUUAUAUUUUAUAUAAACUAUCAUGUAUAUUGUUAAUUUUUAAAUGAGUUUAUGUUUAAAAUAUUUUGCAUGUUAUUCUAUUCAAAUGUUUUAAUACUUAUUUCAAUAACUAUAUAUUCCUAGUUUUUAUGCAAAUUAAUCUACUCAUAUAGUAUGUAUAUUAUGUGUUCAUUAAUUCAUAAUUAUUAUAAAAAUUGUCUUAUACUACAUCUUUUGCUAAUUUCCGCUUUAUUUUGUACAUGUUUUGUGGGUUGUUUUACAUUUAUUGUUGUGGUAUAUUAUUUAGUCACUGUUUUAUCAAUUGCUCUCCAUUCAUGAUUAAGAAUUUGGUUAUAUUUUACUUAGAAUAGUCGUACAUAAUUGUUGGAUUUAUUAAAUGGAGGCUUAUUGUAUCAUAUUAUUUCCUGUUCAUUAAUCAUUUUCUAUGCAAAUGUUUCGAUACAAUGCAUCAAGUGUUCUACCCAUUUUAAAACAAAUAAACGUGUUUUGAGCUAAUUUUUAAUUUUUCUUAUUAUUCAAAAAUUCUGAAAUAAGGCAAUAUCCAAUAUUUGGGAAUUCAAGAAAUCGUGCUCAAUCGUGCUGGGUAUGAUUUUUUCGGUGAACUAAAAUAUUUGGAUAACCUUUUAUAAUUUUAGUGUACUAGUUUUUGAAAGUCAAAAAUCAAUCAUAUUUUUUAAGGUAUAAAGGAUCGUAUCCGAUCGUGCUGGGUAUGAUGCUGCAUAUCUUUGAAAAGAUAGAACUUUGACAGUUAACUUGAACUAUUCACACUUUUAAAGAAUCAUGCUUUGAAAGAUUUUUUUUCUUAAAAUCUUUGAUAUAAUGAUAGCAUCGAAUCAAUUUGGUACCAAUUUUUGGGCGUAAUGAGGGUGUUCACCCUUCCUCAUGCGUAAUCGAUUCCCGAACCCAUUUGUUUUUUAUUUUACGUGAACCAAAAUUGUCCUUAAUGGAACAAAACAAUUUAGUAGGUGGCCCAAUCACACCUAAACCGAGAGAUUGGUGGCGACUCCAUAUUUUUGUUUUAAAAAGUUGAUUCUCAUUUUUCUCUAUAAAAAAUGGUUUCGACAAGCACCAAUUUUUUUUUAAAACUCGUAUUCUAGUGUCGGCUAUUGACAGGCCAACACCAAAAAAAUUGAAUUUUUUUUAAAUACCGGUGCCGGUUAUUGACAGGCCAGCACCAAAUUUUUUUUAAAUACUGAUAUUUUUGUAUACCAGUAUGAUACGAUUUUAAAAAAAAUACCUUGGUGCCAGUCAUUGACAGGCCAAAACUAAAAAAAUUAAAAUUUUAAAGCCUGGCACAAUCAUCAGGCAAUCAUGGGUACAAAAUACGAGUUGGUGCCGGCCAUUGAUAGGCCAAAACCCCAUUUUACUGUUCAUUUCAAGUCAUUUUGGUGAUUAUUUUUGAACCUGAAUCAUUUUUAUAAAUAUCAAAAUUUUUUUGGCCAAUUUAGUAAAAUAGCCAGAGAAGGUGGAAGAAGAGUAAUGGGAAGAGUAGUGGGAAGUGACAGUAAAGAUGAGUGAGAGAAGAAGAGUUAUUGUUGCAGUUAUAGAAAAUGGGUUUUCAUAGUAGCGUUAAAAAUGUUUGUUCAAAUAGGAAGCAUAGAAAGAGAUGUAUAAUUAUUUUGGAUGUGGAUUGUCAUUGAAUUUGAAUUUUUUAUCAAAUUAUCCUAAAAUGGAUAAAAAAAUUAAUGUUUGUCAACUAUGCUGACGUAGCAUCUACUAAUGGGAAGAGUAGUGGGAAGUGACAGUAAAGAUGAGUGAGAGAAUAAGAGUUACACUAUGUUUGGUUUGGUGUAUUGGCUAUGCCAAUACACCCCUAAUCGGUGGGCCCCACCUAAUCCGGCUAUAUUCCGUUGUUUGGUUUGAUGUAUUACUAAUACGUGUGUAAUCCAUUACCUUCCUAAUCGGUGAAAACCACUGAUUUCUAUUCCCCCUCUUUUGUCCAGAUUAGCUACCGCUUCAGCAAACCUCCCUGUUUUACCCUCCCCCGAUCCCCUUUGUUUCUCUUCUGUUCCUUCUAGCUUCAUCCGCUUCUGGGUCUCCAGGUUACUGCAACUGUAUAAGAUAAACGCCUUUGUCUUCUAAUUUCCUCAUUCCGCACUUCGGUUCUCUCUCAUUGCGGCAUCUAUCAUAGGUAUGGCGACAGCCAUUGUAGCCCCUGCCAACGCGUCACUGCAAGACCCAACCAAGUUUCACCCUGACGUCAAGCUCUUCAAUCGCUGGAGCUUCGAGGAAGUUCAAGUAUUUCUUUUUCUUUUUUCCCCUUUUGCCUCUCUAUGCAUACAUUUCUUUUUUCAUUCUCUUGGCUUUGUUUUUUCUAGAUUUUAUAUGAAAUGUUCCGUUUUAGCAUGUUCUCUAUUUUUUUGGUCUUUUCAAGUCGAGUGGAUCUACUAGGACUAAUUAAUUGUAUACAGGGAUUCUGUUUUCGUAGAGAAUCGUUCAUGUUGUUUUUAACUUGAUAAUAUUUGUUAGAUCAUCUUGUUGUGACUGAACAUCUAUAUUGUUGUUCUCUGAUUUGAAGAUUUUACUUGUUGUCUUUGAUGUUACUGAUAUUCAGAUUGACAAUUUAUGUUAAUCCUAAAUGUUUGUCUUCAUGUUUGUAAGAAAUUGGUUAAUUUUAGGUUAGAUUAUUUGGAUAAGAUGAUCGUAUUAGAUUGUCUUUCGAAUGCUUAAAGACUCCUGAAGAUUCGAAAGAAUUAGGUUCCUCAACUUGCUGUUCCCUUUGAUAACUACAAUUGUUAGCCCUGGUCCUUGAUGUGAAUGAUUUAUCUAUUUUAGGUUUCUGAUAUCUCUUUGAGUGACUACAUUGGUGUUCAACCUUCCAAACAUGCAACCUAUGUGUCACACACUACUGGGAGGUACUCAGUUAAGCGUUUUAGAAAGGUUCAGUGCCCCAUUGUUGAGAGGCUUACAAACUCAUUGAUGAUGCAUGGCCGAAACAAUGGAAAGAAACUUAUGGCAGUCAGGAUUGUGAAGCAUGCUAUGGAAAUUAUUUAUCUCCUGACUGAUCAGAACCCAAUUCAAGUCAUUGUUGAUGCCAUUAUCAACAGGUGGCCUAUCUGACCUUUAAGAAUUUCCUUUUUCAAAUGUAUCACUAGCUGACUUUAAUCUUUAAAGUAGCAGAUGAUGUUAAUUAAAACAUCUUCCAAUUCUGGGUUAUCUUUGUUGGAUCAAUCUUUGAUAAUCCUUGUUGAUUUUUGAUUGAUAUAACAGUGGACCUCGUGAAGAUGCUACUCGUAUUGGUUCUGUUGGUGUUGUGAGGCGUCAGGCUGUUGAUAUUUCUCCUCUUCGUCGAGUGAAUCAGGUCAUCUAUCUCCUCACCACUAGUGCUCGUGAGUCUGCAUUCAGAAACAUUAAAACUAUCGCUGAAUGUUUGGUUGAUGAGCUUAUUAACGCAGCAAAGGGAUCAUCUAACAGGUAAAUAACAGCCUUUGAACUCCCGUGUUUGAACCUUAUUUUGCUUUGAAACUAGGAACUGUCCUUGCAAUCCCAUGUAUUUACCACAGCUUGCUUCAUCAUUCUCGCGUUGUUUGUGCAGCUAUGCCAUCAAGAAGAAGGACGAAAUCGAGAGAGUUGCCAAGGCUAAUCGUUGAGGAAUUGGUAGGACUUUGCAAAAACCAUGGCAGUGGACACUUCUGUUUUUUAUUCAGUACUUUAUAAGUUACCUAUUUUGUGUUCCAAACAUAAUAUGAAUGUUCCGUUAUUUAAGUUGAGAUGUUAUUGAAGAGAGCAUAUCCUGUUUUGGUUAUAUAUGCUGUACUUAUUUUGCCAUGGUUUGAAGCUGUUGAGUUCAUCUUUGCUGCAAACAAAGAGAUGAGAGUGCUUGAUGUGGUUGUUUUGACCACAUUAAAUCGCCCUGCCUGUUGCUAAUAAUUAGUACUUAAAAAAGAGACAAUUAAAGGAAGAAAUCAAAUUGAGUUUUUCCAAUUAUUGAGCAGAUGAAAUUAUACAAGUCUUUCAAAAAUAUUGUUAUGAAUUUCUAACCCAGCCAAUAGAAGCAAAGAAAAAAAUAUUAAUUGGAGCAAUUAUACAAACUUCUGUUUGAAGUUAAAUACAAAGGCCGUAACACUAUUGAAAUCAAGCCUUUCAACCUGCAUUAACAAUGGAAGAGACUGCAGUUUAUCAAUGUCAAAUUUUAUAUGUUUUAUGAACAUGAUUCUCUCUAUCUACAGAUAAAGAAAAAUUUUUUUGGAACUUUAUACUACAAAAGUCGAUUUAAUAAUCCCCGUUCUAAUACUGCUUAUAUUGUUUGGCUUGUUACAGUUGGAAGUUCAUCGAGGACAAACAUUUUUCAAAUUAUUAUUUUAAAUUAUACAAAUUCAUAAAAUAUAAUUUAUUAGUUAUAAUUAUUUUAAAUUUUAUUAAAUCAUAUAUUUUAAUUAAAAUAUAUUUAAUAUUAAUUAUUUCAAAUUUUCUUUUAUAGUAUCAUAUAUUAUGAUUUGAGUAAAUUCAUAUAAGAAUAUUAAUUAUUAAGAAUUUUAUUAAAUUAUAUAUUUUAAUUAUAAUAUAUUUAAUAAUAAUUAUGUUAAUUUAUAUUUUACAGUAUUAUAUAUUAUGAUUUGAGUAAAUUCAUAUGAGAAUAUUAAUUAUUAAGAAUUUUAUUAAAUUAUAUAUUUUAAUUAAAAUAUGUUUAAUAAUAAUUAUGUUUAAAUAUGAUUAAAAUAUUUAUUAUUGAUAAUAAUAAUCUUAUUAAAAUUUAAAUAACAAUAACAAUAAUCAUUUACCAAAAUAAAUUUAUGCUAAGGGUAUUCUAGUCAUUUUAGUUUUUUCCACUAUGCUAUUACACCUCUAUUCCAUUCAACCAAACACAAGAUUACUAUUACGCAUCUAUUCCAUUACAUUCAACCAAACAGUUGAUUUGCUAUUACACCUCUAAUCCAAUACACCUCUAAUCCAAUACACUUCUAAUCCAAUACAUCUCUAAUCCAAUACAGCGAACCAAAUGCACUCUUACUGUUGCAGUUAUAGAAAAUGGGUUUUCAUAGUAGCGUUAAAAAUGUUUGUUCAAAUAGGAAGCAUAGAAAGAGAUGUAUAAUUAUUUUGGAUGUGGAUGGUCAUUAAAUUUGAAUUUUUUAUUAAAUUAUCCUAAAAUGGAUAAAAAAAAUUAAUGUUUGUCAACUAUGCUGACGUAGCAUCUACUAAUGGGAAGAGUAAUGGGAAGUGACAGUAAAGAUGGGUGAGAGAAGAAGAGUUACUAUUGCAGUUAUAGAAAAUGGGUUUUCAUAGUAGCGUUAAAAAUGUUUGUUCAAAUAGGAAGCAUAGAAAGAGAUGUAUAAUUAUUUUGGAUGUGGAUUGUCAUUGAAUUUGAAUUUUUUAUCAAAUUAUCCUAAAAUAGAUAAAAAAAUUAAUGUUUGUCAACUAUGCUGACGUAGCAUCUACAUGGAUUAUAAUGUGAAUGACAUGUCAAUAUUUAAUUAAUUUUAAUAUAUAUUUUAAAUAAUUUAAAUAAUUUAAAAAAUUUUUAUUAUAUUUUUUAUUUUAAAAAUUUUAAAAAAUUAAUUAAAUACUAAUGUGUCACCAUAUGCAUGUCAUAUCAACAAAGUUAAAAAGACAUUAACUUUUUUAUUUAUUUUGGAGUGAUUUAAAAAAGAAUACAAAUUUAAAAGCAAAAAAAAAAUGAAAUGCUAAAAUAAUUUUUUUAAUCUAUAGAGAUCUCUCACGCUAAACUAAAGCUAUAAGCUUUUGUAGUUAAUGUAUAGGAUAAAGUAGUAUCGAACCCCAAAUGAUGGUUUGAUGGUUAGGGUGUUCAUCGCUUCAAAUAUAAUUUGGAUUCGAGUCACAUUAAUCACGUUAGUGUUUUACUCUCGUCAUGUAAUUUUUUUAAAAAAAAGAGGGGAAGUAUGGGUAACUUUCUAAAAAACAACCAAAUGUAAACCUAAUCUUCAUUUUCAAAAGAUGUAAAAAUCUUUCAUCAAAUCUGGUUGAACCCAAAAUAAAAAUAUAAUGUGUAAAUAAAACUAACAGGGGUAAAAUUAAAUAAAAUUAAAGAGGUGAGAUAUUAAUAUUAUGAAAUAAAUUAAUUCAUUAAUAAAAAAAUAUAUAUUUGGCAUAAUAAUUUAUUUAGCCUUUCAACUUUAAAAAAAAUCAUUUUAAUUUUUUAUUUACUUUUUCGUUUAUUUUAACUCUUAAACUUACAUUAUUUUUCAAAUCACUCAAAAUGGAUGAAAAAACUAGCAUUUGUUAAUUAUGCUAAUGUGACAGCAUCCAUGUGAUAAUCCAUGUGUAUGCCACAUUAACAAUUAAUUAUUUUUUAAAAAAUAAAAAUAUUUUUAUAAUUUUUAAUUUUUAAAAUUUAAUUAAUUCUUAAAUGUAACAUCUGCGUGAUAAUCUAUGUGUAUAUCACAUUCGUAAAUAUUGGAGUGAUUUGACAAAUAUUGUAAAUUUAAUGAUUAAAAGAGAUGAAAAAAAUAAAUAAAAAACUAAAAUGACUUUUUUUAUAAAGUUAGAGGAUUAAAUAAAUCAUUAUACCUAUAUAUUUUUUAAACUUUUGAAUUAAGCUUUUAACUUUAUUUUUAAUUAAUUUUAUUUUUAAAUAUCUUUUGAAAUAAAAAAAUGAUAUAAAAUUUAAAAAAAUUGUAUAAAUUUUUUUUCCUUAGAGAGCGAAGAGUAGACAUUUCACGUUGUUUAUGGUGGGCCCAUUGAAUUGACCAAACAGGGCGUGAAUUUGGUGGAGAAGUCGUACAAUUAUUUUCAAUGUGAAUGUCCCACACGCUUUUGCAGUUUAAACUUUUAAAGUAAUACUCAGCCUACAAGUUUCACGCUUUUGCAGUCUAAAUAAUAAACUCAGCCUACAAGUUUCACACUUUUGCAGUUUAAAGUAGUACUCAGCCUACAAGUCUCUAAGAGAGAAGCAAAUGCAAGGCCAAUUCACUUAAAAACAAUAGCUUUACUCAUAAUCCAAAAAUCUCUCAUCAAAUCCGGUGGAAUAUGCUUGCUUCAACAUCUUCUUCUUCUUCAGCUGCUGCUGCUGAUAUGAUCAAAGCAAGGACAUACGAUGUUUUUAUUAGCUUCAGAGGCGAGGAUACUCGUGAUGGUUUCGUAAGUCAUCUGUAUAAAGAUUUGUGUCGAAAGAAUAUCGACACUUUUGUCGACAGCGAGAAGCUUCGAAGAGGAGAUGAAAUUUCAGAGGCACUGUUGACGGCCAUUCAAGGAUCGAGUGUUUCAGUCAUUGUUUUCUCCAAAGACUACGCUUCUUCCAAAUGGUGUUUGGAUGAACUUGUGAAGAUCAUGGACUGCAACAAAUGUGUUGUUCCUGUAUUUUACGGUGUAGGCCCCUCAGAUGUACGGAAACAAAGAGGGAAUUUUGCAGAUGCAUUGGCAAAGCAUGAAGAAAAUUUCAAGCAUGAUGUUGAAAAGGUGAAAUCCUGGAGAACUGCUUUGACUUCAGCUGGCAAUUUAUCCGGUUGGGAUUCAGGAAAGAUUCGGUAAUUGCAACUCCUUUUCAUUAAAAUCAAUCCUUUUUUCUUCUUUAUAUUCUAUAUAUAUAUAUUGAUUUGGAAACAGAGAGAUUCAAACUCUUGACUUCUUUUCAUUUAUCCUCUUAUCCCAUUUCACGUUUUCAUUAAUUUUUUUUAUUAGUUUAAUUUAAUCAAUUUUAGUAUAAUUUAAAUCCAUAAUGUUCAUAAAGUGCAGGGGAUAAUCUAUCUUAAAAGGACCAUACUUUUGUAGACAGAGAGAGUGGGCACAUUGUAGAAAAUAAAUGAAGAAAUUUAGUAACAUGCGAAGCAUUUAUAUUCAACAGUGUUCUUCUUUGCUUCCUUUUCCAUGUUUCCUUCUUUAACUCUUAACUUUUUACACCUUCGUACGAUUCUCUUAUGUAUAAAAUAUACUGUCCAGUCCAUUGAUAUAUUUAUUUUCAAAGAAAUAUAUGAGUACAUAAAAAAGGUUGUAGAUGGUGAAAUUUGAAUUAUAGAUCUAUUUUUAAAAGAGAUCAUAUGAAUCAAUUUAGUUAUUUAUUUAUGUAUUCUUUUUAUUUUUUCCAUAAUUUGUUUCUUCAUUUGAUAUAUAGGCCUGACUCAGAACUGGUAGAUAAGAUUGUGAAAGAUAUAUUGAAGAAAUUGAAUCGUGGAACUUCAAGUGCUAAUUUAGAGGGUUUAGUUGGAAUUGAGAGGCGGAUGCAGAAAGUUUUGUCAUUAUUUCAAGACAAAUUCCCAGAUUUUCGAAAGCUAGGUAUUUGGGGCAUGGGAGGUACAGGCAAAACUACACUUGCUGAAGCCAUUUUUCACCAUGUUUUAAAUGGUUUCCAAAGCUACUUCUUUCUUGCAAACGUGAGAGAAUCAGAUGAGAAAGGAACAUUAUCUCAAUUACGUCAGACAUUUUUUUCGGCCAUAUUGGAGGAUGAAAAUUUAUAUAUCUCAACUCCCACAAUUGGAUCAAGCUUUCUUAAGGAUAGGCUUUCUAGGAAGAAGGUUUUGGUAGUUUGUGAUGAUGUGUCAAAGUUAAGCCAACUCGAGUAUUUAUUCGGAGGAAACAAUCGACUCGGCCCUGGAAGUCGAGUCAUCGUUACAACUAGGGAUAAACAAGUGCUUAUCCAGUAUGGCAUUGAUUUCAUUUAUGAAAUGGAGGAAUUAGAUGACGAUGAAUCUAUUAAGCUCUUUUGUCAACGUGCCUUCAAAAGCAAUCAUCCCACAGAAUUUCAUCAGUUGAAGCUAUCACAGAUGGUUUUAAGUUUUGCUAAUGGAAACCCUUUAGCUAUUAAAGUUAUCGGGUCCUCUCUUUGUGGCAAGACACAAAGCUACCAGGAAAGUGAAGCAAAGAAACUAAAGCAAGUUCCUAAGCCGGACAUUCAAAGACUGUUGAAAUGGAGUUUUGAUGGACUAGAAUGUGAAGAGAAAGAAAUGUUUCUUGACAUUGCUUGUUUCUUUAAAGGGGAGGACCGAGACUUUGUAACAAGGAUUAUGGAAGCUUGUUAUCUUUCUGCAUAUUCAAGAAUUGAAAACCUCAUUGAUAAAUCUCUUAUAUAUGUUUCAGAAAAUGCGAUAAAAAUGCAUGAUUUAUUGCAACAGAUGGGUUGGGAUAUCGUUUACAACGAAUCACCUUCAGAGCCUGAAAGACGCAGUAGGCUGUGGAUUCCUGAUGACAUCUAUGACGUGCUAAUAGAAAACAGUGUAAGAGCCUUAUUCAUUUCCUUCACUUACGUUACUAUCACUCUUCUUUUUCUCUUAGCAUGACAAAUAGGGUGAGUAUUUGUUUGAGUUGAGUCGAAUUGAGUAAAAAAAAUUCGAAUUAGUCAAGUUGAUGAAUCCUAUUUUAACAACCGAACUUAAUUUGAAUUUUUAUUUGGGUUAAAAAAUCUCUUUUAUCAAAAAUUUACUUAAAUUAAUUCUAUGCGCUUAUAGCUAGUCAGACCUACGAGGAACGAUUAGGAGAUUUCACUCUGAUCUAAGUCUAAUAGCGACUUGCAAAUUCCUUUGAAAUAUCUGUUGAAUCUGAUGCCUUCGAGAAUUCAACCCUAUUCUCAGAUAUAGAUAGCAUGCGUUGCUCCGACAAUGUACUAUGCCAUCAUGCAUUUAGAUUCGAUAAUUGAGUCGAGAGUGAAAUGUCACAUUUGUUAGGAUACUUGUUAAAAUGUUAUUGGAUACAUAUACUAUCUCACAAUUAUCUUGAAUUUGAAUAACAUAAUUCUUAUUUUGCAUAUAUCUUGGCACCUUAUUCUGACACACUGCUCUUGAUUUUAGGGAACAAAAACACUCAAAGGCAUGCUACUUGACAUGUCUAGAAUUCCAAAAUUGGAAUUAAGAGCAGAAGCCUUUGUGAAGAUGCGAAAACUUAAAUUCCUCAAGUUCUAUCUUCCUUCUACGUUUGGAAGGGUUCAAAUGAAAUCCAAAAUCCUCCUCCCUCAAGGGUUUUUAUCACUUCCUAAUGAGCUAAGGUACCUUUAUUGGGAGGGAUACCCUUUGAAAACUUUACCUGCCAGUUUUGAUCCAAGGAACCUAGUUGAACUUGAUAUGAGAGAUAGCAAUGUCGAACAACUCUGGGAGGGAAAACAGGUACUCAUUUUACUUUCUUUCUUUCUUUAUAUAUGUUAGAAUUGAACAUCGAUAAUGGCAAUGAAUCACAAAGAAAAGAAGAAAAAUAAAAUCCACAUAUUUUACAUGAAAACUCUAUCGGGGGAAAAAAUCAUGGGCAGAGGAGAAGAAAAUUCACCGAAUUCAAAUAAUACACGAGAGGAGUAUAGACUACGUUUUUUAUUAUAGGUUUAUAAAAUCAUAUUCUAAUCAAAGUCAAAUAGACGUAAUACAGUAAACUUCUAUACGGAUUUCACUUCGACCCUCGACCUUUGCCCUCACAGACCCCCUACCUUGUCACUAUAUUUAUUUUUAACGUGAAUUUGGCUAACAAUAUAUAUACCUCGUUCUCUAUGAUGUUUUGUAGAUUGAUGUAAGCAUUUUUGAAACUAAUUCCAUUGUCAUUUAUUGAUUCUACAUAUUUGUUAUGUUUUCAUAAUAGCAUAGGAAAAAGACCACUUCCAAUAUGACUAGUGUUUAAGUUAUUUUUGCAUUAAAAAAAAAGGAGUUGUAAGAUUAAUAUAUUAGGGCUAUAAAAUUUAACUAUAUUGUUAAUCCAAGCUUUUGUUUGAGCUUGAGUUGUUGAGCAAGUUAAAUUUGAAUAUCCUAAUAUUUAACUUAAUUUAUUAGCUAUCAUUUAAUUUCUUUAUCAUAUAUCUAUCUAUAUAAGCUCAACUAAAAAUUUAUUAGAAGUGGUUGACCACAACAUCCUUCCAAAUUAAAAUAUUUAAUUUUCUUAACAUAUCUUAUUAUUUUGAUGUACAUAGAGUAAUUUUUCUAUUCAAAUUUUGAUUUAAUAUUUUUAAUUAUUGGGCUCUUUAUAUUUUAAAACUGCUUCAAACAUUUUAUUAUAUAUACUAAUUUUUUUAUCUUUGCAAUGCACAAACUUACUAUGUAUAUAAGUUAAUUAUAAUAAGUAAAUUUAAAUAAUUUACUCUGUGUAUUAGUGUAAGGGAUUUAAAAUUGUUAUAAACUAAAUCAUUAUAAAGUCAAGUUGGCAAUGCAAUAUGUUGAAUAUCAACAUCAACUUAUUGAAAAAUAGUAUUUAUUGUUGUACAAAGUUUAGCCAUUGUCUUUAGUUAUUCAGCACUUAGUCUUUUAAGUAUUUUGUUAGUAGGGCAAUGAAUCUCAUAUUAGUUAGGAACAAAAAGAAAAGAGAUUAUGAGUCUAUAUAAGAACCAUAUCCAACAUUGUUUAGAAAAAACAAGGGAAAGGAGACUUUUGGUCUAUAUAAUGAGCUAUGUUAUAAGACUUAUUUGCACCAACCAAAUAUUAGAUUUUCUAUUUGGCUUCUUUAAAUUCAUCUUCUUUUUCUUAUUUUGGAUUAUUGGGGGCUGUAGGUAAAUAUUAGUUUAGUGAUGUCGUGGGCUAUCGUGCACAUUAAAAAAUAAACUUUCAUAGCUACUUGAAAAUUAUCCUUAGUUGUUUAGUUGUUGGAAGGAAAUAUGGUAGUGUGGAAUUGCAUGUCUAGGAAAGGUUCUGGUUGAGGAAACGGUUGGUAUUUAAGAGUGUCCGUUGUGACCUAUCUUUUUUUCCUGGGAACCUACCUGAUGCAUUUUUCAUGAACUACUUUCACGAUUCCAAUAUUUAGUUGUGAGACAUUUGUUGACAAGAUGACAGACCCACAAGUUGUUAGCGAAAUGAAUAAGCUUAAUAACAAUUAUAAUUCAUGGUCAACUUGCAUAAUGUCUUGUAUAUGAGAGGUUGUUAAUGGCAGUGAAGUGAUGCAACCGAAAGCUGAGGAUGCAAGUGGCACACUAGGAAAAUGGAAAAUAAAAGCUGGCAAGACAAUGUUCGCCUUAAAGACAACCAUUUAAGAAGAUGUGUUAGAAUACAUAUGUGAUGCUAAAAUCCUGAAGGAAGCUUGGGAUAUGCUCCCCAAGUUAUUCUCUAAAAGGAAUUAUGCGAAGCUCUAACUUCUAACUUACCAGUAGCACAUGUUAGUAACACAAUAGUUUCCCCUCAACAUAAUAAGAUCAAGGUAGCACUUCAAAAUGUCUAUCAUAUGCUAGGUAUGAGAAAAAAAUCUUGUUUCAGUAGCACAACUAACAUCUACUGGUCAUGUUGUUUUGUUUGGUCCACAAGAUGUGAAAGUAUACCACAAUCUUGAGAAUAUAAAAGAGCUAAUGAUGAAAAGACAAAGAUUAAAGUAAGUCUAUGUGAUGUCAGAAAUUGUAUAUGUUGACACGGCAAGAAGAAAUAAGACGAUGGACUUGUGACUCAUGCAACUAAGUCACAUCAGCUAUUCUAAGAUAGAUGUGAUGGCGAUGAGAUCAAUGUUGAAAGGACUCCCAAAACUUGAAGUGAGAACAAACACAAUAUAUGUGGGUUGUCAAUAUGGAAAAGCACAUCAAUUGUUGUAUGAAGAGUCCAAAUUUAAAGUGAAAGAACCAUUAGAGUUAAUCCACUUUACGUGUCUAGGCAUGUUAAACAAGCCUUCAUGAGUGGAUGAAGUACAUGGUGACCUUCAUUGAUGAUUGUUCCAGUUAUUUUAUGAAGAAAAAUUUAAGGAUCUUUCAAAGUUCAACGAGUUUAAAGGGGUUGUGGAAGUAGAGGUUGUUAAAAGUGUCUGUUGUCUACACAUUGAUGACAAGGGAGAGUACAUCUCAAAUGAGUUUUUAGGUUUCGUUCAAGAAUGUCGGAUAUGCCAUCAAUUCACAUGUGCUAACACUCCACAAUAAAAUGGUGUGGCGGAAUGGAAAAGUAGGCACUUGGCCGAAAUAUGUCAAAGUGUGCUUCAUGCAAAGAAUGUUCCGAGUCUUUUUAUGGCAGAAACAAUGAAAACUGCAGCCUUCGUGACCAAUACUAGGCUUCCUUAAUAAAGGUUAAGUUUUCUUUCUAGUGCAGUAACCUUUUCAUGGUAUGGCAAAAGACAACCAUUAGUAUCUUUGUAAACAAUGGAAGCAGAGUACCGUGCAGGGGAGAUAAUAGCUCAAUAAAGCACUUGACUUUUGCAACUAUUGGUGGACUUGCAUCAACCGGUGGAGACUCCAAUUCCUUUAUAUUGCGACAACGUGUCAACAAUACGCUUGGCAGAGAAUCCAGUCUUUCAUGAAAGAACUAAACAUGUAGAUGUGCAUUAUCAUUUUAUUAGAGAAAGUCUUGCAAGAAGAAAUCAAGCUAGAACAUGUCAGACCGAAGACCAAGUUGCUGACCUGCUCAGAAAAGGCUUGUGUGGCAGCAAGCUCGGAAGCUUCUGUCAUCAGCUGGACAUGGUAAAAGUUGGUGUUAAGAGGGGAGUGUUGAAUAUCAACUCCAACUUAUUGGAAAAUAUAUUUUGCUAGUGUUUAUUGUUGUACAAAGCUUAGCUAUUUUCUUUAGGUUUUAGGUGCCGAGUUUGCUCUUAAGUCUUCUAUUAGUAGGGAAGUAAUGAAUCUCACAUUGUUCAGAACAAAAAGUGAAGUGAGUAUAAGUAUGUAGAAAGAUCAUAUCUCACUUUGCUUAAAAAAAUAAGGGAAAAGGAAUCUAAAGAAUUAGUAACACUAUAUAUAAUCUACUAUGCGUCAUGAGAAUACUACCCAUUCAAUUGUUUGUCUAACAAAUAGGUGACAAAAUUUUUUAUGUUUAAUAGAUGGAUUUGAAUCAAUUGAUGAUUAUAUAUGUAGUUUAUUAAUAACAUUAGUUAUUCUUUAUAACUAAAAAUAUGAUUAUAAAAUAAUAAUAUAUUGAAAAUAUCAUAAUAAUAAACUAUUUAUAAUUUAAAUGUAUAUCGAAAAAUAAAAUAAAAAGAGAUUAUAUAUUUACUUUUAUUGAUAGUAUCCUUUAAUUUUAUUAUAUUUAUUUGUAUUUUGAAAUUAAUAUAAUAUAAGAUCAUUUUUAUUUUUAUUUAUAUAAUUGUUUUAAUUAUAGCUGUUGAAUGUAGAGAUUUUUGUCAAAUACUACGUUGUGAUGCAUGCAGGAUUUAGUAAAUUUGAAGGUUAUCAGUCUCUUCUGUUCUAAGAACCUUGUAAGAAUCCCAGACCUCUCCAACGCCACCAAUCUUGGAAAGAUAUACCUUAACCGGUGUUUUAACUUGUGUGAGCUUCCUCCAUCCCUUCAGCAUCUUGAGAAGCUAACUCAUUUGGACUUCAGUUACUGUAAAAAUAUUAGAUCUCUGCCUAGCUUGUAUAAAGCCACAUCCCUCACCAAACUUGAUCUUAGUGGCUGCUCAAAUCUGUUAAGUUUUCCAGAGGUUUCAUCGAAUGUAACAGAGCUAUGGUUAGAUGGAACUGCAAUUGAAGAAGUUCCUUCCUCCAUCGAAUGUCUCUCUAAUCUUCGUGUAUUCAGCCUAUGGGGAUGCAAGAGGCUUAAAUCUCUCCCCACAAGUAUUCAUAAAUUGAAAUCUCUUGAAAAAUUCAAUCUUAGAGAUUGCUUAAGAUUGGAGACUUUUCCAGAAAUCUUGGACAUCAUGGAGAGGUUGAGAGAUCUUGAUUUGAGCGGAACGGCUUUGAAGGAAUUACCAUCUUCAAUUGACAAUUUUAUUGGUCUUGAAUAUUUGAGAUUGAACAACUGUGAAAACCUUAUUUGUCUUCCUAACGGCUUUUAUAAAUCGAAAUCUCUUUGGGGACUUGAUAUUUGUGGUCGUUCAAAUCUUGUUGUAAAAAACUUGUUUUCUGCCAUUGGAGGCAGACCAGUGAAGCUGAAAGAUCUCCACGGGUUAUCCUCAUUGUACAAAUUAGAUUUAUCUGAAACCAAUCUUGAGAGCUUACCUACAACCAUCAAACAAUUUCCUUGGCUGCAAGAGUUAAUCUUGUGGAAUUGCAAGAGAUUGAAAUCAUUACCAGAGCUUCCCCCAAGCCUAGGACAUUUGGAUGCAGAUAGCUGCACUUCACUAGAGGAAGUGUCCAGCAUUAAAAAGCUUUUUGAGCAAGCACUGUUCUGUCAAGAUGAACCAUAUCGAUGCUUGAAGUUGAUAUUUACCAAUUGCUUCCAACUGAAUGAGAAAGGUGUGGGGAAUCAUGGAACACCAAAGUUGGAGACGCCAUUUAAGCAAACGGUGAAUGUACUAAAAGAUUAUCAUAAGGUCAGCUUCUUCUUCUUCUAUAUAUAUCUUCAAUGUGGACAAUUGAUAUUUAUAUGCAUUGCUGAAUAAUCUAUCAUGUUUCUGAUAAUUGUAAUUGAACAGGCAUCCCCUCAGAGACAUAAGUUUAUUACAUGCGUCCCUGGAAGUGAAAUCCCGGAAUGGUUUGAUUUCAAGAGCUUAGGAUCUUCCAUAAACAUCCAAUUGCCUUCAGAGUGGUGGAUAAACUUUCCAUCUUUUGUUGCUUCCGUCGUUGUUUCAUUCCCAGGGCGUUAUAAUGGUAGGAAUUUUGGCAUUAGAUGUGAAUGUCAUCUAAAAUACUAUAAUGGCGACAGUCAUGACCUUACUUGUUCAUUCUCCCUUUGGGGGGUGGGAGUACUAAACCAUGAAGACCGAAUGUUUGGGUGGGAUCACAUGUUCCUCUUAUAUGAUGAUUUCAAAGUUUGGGAGUUCGUUGAAAGCCAGGCAUCAAACAAGUGCAUUUACAAUGAGGCUUCCUUUAAAUUCUACCCUCUUCAUUAUGGGUCGAAACUAAGGAAUAGUUCUUUGGAGAUAAAACAGUGCGGGGUUCAUCUAUUAUUUGCAAAUUAAGGAUUCAAUGUAUGACAUCUCAAUGAUGCUUCAUAUAUUUCAUCUGCAGUGAAUUUCAAACCCUAAAUAUGUUGUUAAUAUAUAUUUUGUUAAUAUAUAUUUAUCAUAGGUUUUAUUUAUAAAUGUUUAUUUUUCACUCAAAUUUUUAUAUCUUUUUUUUUUUCAUUUUUCAUUUCCUUUUGUUCAAACACAAUUAGAAAUUUAAGGCAUAUCUAAAUGGAUUUAAAUAAAUAUUUAUAACUCAAUGGACAUACUUUAAAAAUAGUAGAAAAAGUUCUAAAUAAAAUUAUAUAAUAAAUCAUAUUUUAUAUUAUUUUUAAGAUAUAAGUGAUUUUUUUUGUCCAAAAUAAAAUAGAUUGCAGUUUUGAAUCAUGAACCAAGAAGAAAAAAAAAAAGACAACAAUUAAUAUUUUUGACUAUUUAUAUAACUGGAUAUAUAUAUAUAAUACAAAACUUAGUUAAAUGGCAAGAUUCAACCUUGAGAAAUUUUUUGGUAAGGCAACAUUGAGAAAUUUAACAUCUUGUAAUAAUUGACUUUAUUAAAACAUAAACAAAAGAAAACAUAGUUCAAAAUUUUGGGUUUUGUUCUUGUGCUAUGAUUCUUUCUUUUGCUAAGUUUUUUUCCCCUCUUUUACCAAGAGGCUAAAAUCUAAAGAUUACAAAAGAACUAAAAUAUUUUAGGAAUAAUAUUUGAUGUGUCGUUAAUUAGUACAUAAAUUUCAUGUACUUUUAUUAAAUAAUAACAUGACAUGUCAUUAUUAAGUUAAACAAAAAAAUAUGAAAGAUUUUUAAAUAAAUAGUAAUAAUUUUAUUUAAACAUGAUUAAACAUUAAUAGCAACUAUUAUAAAUAAAUAUUAAUAAAUCUAAAAUUUAGGGUAUCAAGUUUAAGGGUCUUGAGUUUAAAGUCUAAAGGUAGUAUUUAUUUAUAAUUAAUUACUAUUUAAUGUUUAUAUUGGAGUCGUUUUUAACACAUAUGUGCAUGGGAAUAUGACUCUAAAAAUAUUUCUAAAUAUAUAGAAAAGUUUAAGGGAAUAAUUUAUAUUAGGAUGAUCCUAAUAACUAAAAUUUUUAGGCACCAAUAAAUUUUAAAGACAUGAAAUUAUUAUUAUACACUCAUCUAUAGAGAAAUUAUUUUAUGGACUCUUCUCACCAUAUUAUUCAUGAUCUAUUUCCAAUUAUUUAAUAACAUUUUAACAAUUUUUAUGUCAUUGACACAUAAUUUUGGUAAUUUUUUACCCUGAACCCAAACCCAUAACCUUGAACCUUAAAUCUUGAACAUGAACCCACAACCUCAAACCCUUAAACCCUGAAUCUUAAACCCAAAAUUCAAACUCGAACCCUAAACCUUAAAUCUUGAACCCAAAUCCUAAACUUCGGGAUUCAAGGUUUAAGAUUUAGGGUUAGAGUUUAAGGUUCGAGAUAAAAUAAUUACCAAAAUUAUGUGUCAAUGACAUGGAAAAUAUUGCACUAAAAUUAUUAUUUUUAAAUUGGUUGCAUAAAAAAAUAACUUAUGGAAAAAAAUAUUAAAAUUUGUAAAAUGAGAAAAAAAAAUGUUUGUUUAUAAUUUGAAAAAUUAAUUAUUUUAAGUAAUUUAAUUAAAGUUAAAUUAAGUUGGAAAAGAUAUUAGAUAUAAAUGAGUAUAUAAUAAUACUUUGUUAUCUUUAAAAUUUAAUGACAUGGUACUAUUUAAUUGGUGUCUAAAAACUAUAGAUGAUCCUAAUAUAAUUUAUUCCCAAAAUUUAAAUAUAUUUAUGUCGGACACAUGUAUAUAUAUAUAUCUAAUAUUUAAAUCCGAUUCCAAACCACUAGAUUUUCAUCAGCCAAAACCUAAUCUUGUUUAAAAAUUUGCAAAACUAGUUUUUAUCACUUCUUAGAGGAGCACAAUCAAACAUAUUCUCAAACUGCGCACUAAUCUCUCAUUACCCUUUUUAAGAAAUGAGAAUUGCAUUAUUUUUUAGAGCAUCGUUUCUUACAAACUAUAUAUUCCAUUAUCACCAGAAGCUCCAUUGCUGCAACAAAAUUAUUUUGUUUGUAAAUAUUCGUUUUGAAUGGUAGAUAUUAUGUGAUGGUAUGAGGAGGGUAAAUACAUGUUAUACUAUUUUUUCUUUAACAAUGCAUCUGAGAAGGUUUUUAAUAAUGCAUCAUGUUAUACGUAUUAUAAAUAUAUGUACUCUUUUUCUUCAUUAGAAAAUUUUUUCCACAUGAUUUUUAUGUUAGUAAGGUUUUAAUGAGACACAUUAUCUAUCAAUAGACAUCAAACGAAAAACGUUAUGAAUAUUUUAUUAUUAAGUGAAUGUCAACAAUAUCAAGAUAAGUUUGAUAUACUCUUGUAAUAGUCAUUAGAAGUAGAAUUUUGUUUUAUUUAUAUUUUUUAUGUCCAUAAAUAAAAAAUUUAAAAAAGCAUAAUAAACAUUUUUAUUGAUGUAACAUUAAUGUGACAAUCUAUGUCUAUAACAAAUAAACAUGAUAGUAUAAAAAAUUGAUGUGAUAAAUGUAAUGUGUAAAUAAAAUUAACACAGACAAAAUUAAGAAUAAAAUUAAAAAAGAGUCAAAAUAUUAAAAUAAAAAUUAUUAUAAAUUAAUAAACCAAUUCAUUAAUAAAAAAAAAUAUUUUUUUUAAUUCUAUAAGUUUGAUUUAGGCAUUUAAAUUUUUUUGUUAACUCUAUUUAUAAUUUUUAAAUAUAAAUUGAAAUAAAAAUUGUAUAUUUUUUUACUUUUAACUUGGGAGGAAGGGUUAAAACAUUAUAGUAUAAAUGGUCUCCGAAGACUCAGCUUUCAAUUUGUUGGAGGCUCUUAAAAGUAGUCCAAUUAUUUUCUGUCUAUGGUCCACACGCUUUUGCAGUUGAUGUAAGCGUAGUUGACUUAAAAAACAAUAGUUGUACUCAGAAUCCAAAAAUCUUUCAUCAAAUCCGGCGGAACACCAAUAUGCUUCCUUCAACAUCUUCUUCUUCUGCUGCUGCAGAUACGAACAAAGAAAGGACAUGCGACGUUUUCCUUAGCUUCAGAGGCGAGGAUACUCGUUGUAGUUUCGUAAGUCAUCUGUAUAAGGAUUUGUGUCGAAAGAAUAUCGGAACUUUUAUAGACAGCGAGAAGCUUCAAAGAGGAGAUGGAAUUUCAGAGUCACUGUUGACGGCCAUUCAAGGAUCGAGGAUUUCAGUCAUUGUUUUCUCCAAAGACUACGCUUCUUCCAGAUGGUGCUUGGAGGAGCUGGUCAAGAUCAUGGACUUCAAGAAGUUGAAAGGGCAUUAUUUUGUGGUUCCUGUAUUUUACGGUGUAGAUCCCUCAGAUGUACGGAAACAAAGAGGGAGUUUUGCGGAUGCAUUUGCAAAGCAUGAAGAAAAUUUCAAGCAUGAUGUUGAAAAGGUGAAAUCCUGGAGAAGUGCUUUGACUUCUGCUGCCGAUUUAUCUGGUUGGGAUUCACAAGUCACUCGGUAAUUGCAACUCCUUUUCUUUACAUUCUAUCCUUUUUUAAUUGUUAUUGUUAUAUAUAGAGAGAGAGAGAGAGAGAAUUUUGAAGUUUUUUUUUUUUUUUCACAUUUGAUUAUUUUAUUGGAUGAUGUAGUUUAUAAAAAAGAAAUGUGAAAUAGGAUAAGGGGAUAGAUAAAAUGAUAUUAAAGAAGCUAAAGUCACAAAAAGAAUUUUUGACUUGCCAAACAUAGAAUAUAGAAUUAAUGUAUAGUACAAGAAUCAAAAUAUGUAUAUACUACCCUGUUCGAGUUGAGGGUGGAUAUUUGACAUGAAGGAUAAUUUUUACAAUUUUACCAUAUUUUAAAGCUUAAAAUUUUCUAUUACUAGAUUUAAUUUUUAUAUUUUAAUUUAAUUAUUUUAGUUCUUAUAUUUUUUUAAUUGGUCAAUUUAGUUCCUAUAUUUUUUAAAUUUUAAAAUUUUAGUUUUGACCUAAACCAUAGCAGUUAAGUUCAUUUAGGAUUUGUUUAUUUAACUGAAAAUGACUUUCUUAAAAAUGAUUUACUUUUAUUGAGAAGCUAAUAUUUUUUAGAAUUUUCAAAAAAUGUCUUAUGCUUUUCAAGAGAGUAAGUCAUUUUGGGAAAAUACCUGUAAGUCAUUUUCUGUUGAUCAAAUUAUUUUCUGUGAAACAAAUAAACACAGGAAAAUACAAAAAAAUAUUUUUUGUAAAACAUUUUACAUGUAAACAAACAAACAUUUGGUUAAACUCAAUUACUAGUCAUGUAUUAUGCAUACAGUUCUAGAUUUAGUAUAUUAUUCAAUUGGAUCAUUUUAAGUCAUUAUAUUUUCAAAUUUUGAAAUUUUAAUCUUGAGGCAAAUAAUAAUUGUUAACCUAUAGUGGAAAUUACAAGCUGGCCUGACAUUACAAAUAUAUGAUAGGUUUGUUGCAUUAGAUUUGAAAAUGACAAAACUUAAUUAAUGAAUUUAACAAUUAUCAUCUGGUAAGUACUGGAAUUUUAUAAUUUGAAAAGUAUAGAGAUUAAAAAUAACCAAAUUAAAGUAUAGAGAUUAAAUCCAUAAAUUUCAUAAAGUGUAGGCUAUCUAAAAUUCCUUUUAAGUUUUCCAAAUAUUAAAAAAACAUGAAAAUGCAAAAAAAAGAAAAGAAAAGAAAUAUAUAAAAAAAUUGAAAAAAAAUCUAUUCUUCUUUAAAUAUCAAGUUUAUUAUAUUAUUUUCUUUACCCUCACUUUCUUUUCCUUUAAAUAUAUAUUGAUUUGGAAGAAAAUAGAUUAAGCUUGGACCUUUUUUUCAAGCAGUGAUUCAUGUAUGUUACCCAGAUUGGAGUUAAGGGGCAGAUUCUGAAUAACAUGCCAAGCAUCUACAUUGAACAAUGUUAAUCAAUUGAAUACUCUUUAUCAUCUUUAUUUAUUUACUUAUGUUUCCUUUUUAUUUCUCCCAUAAUUUGUUUCUUCAUUUAAAAUAUAGGCCUGACUCAACACUGGUAGAUAAAAUCGUCAAAGAUAUAUUAAAGAAACUGGAUUGUAGAACCUCAAGCCCUAAUUUAAAGGGUUUAGUUGGAAUUGAGCGGCGGACGCAACAAGUUGUGUCAUUAUUUCAGGUUGGAGAUCUUCUAAAGCUAGGUAUUUGGGGUAUGCAAGGUAUAGGCAAAACUAAACUUGUUGAAGCAAUUUUUUGCCAUGUUUUAAAUGGUUUCCAAAACCACUCCUUUCUGGCAAACGUGAGAGAACAUAAAGAAUCAAGAAAUUUAUCCCAAUUGCGUCAGAAAUUUCUUUCAGACAUACUGGAAGAUGAAAAUUUAGAUAUCUCAACACCCACAAUCAUACCAAGCUUUGUUAAGGACAGGCUUUCUAGAAAGAAGGUUUUAGUAGUUUGUGAUGAUGUGUCAGAGUUAAGCCAAUUCGAGUUUUUAUUCGGAGGAAUCCGAUCGGUUCGGCCGUGGAAGUCUACUCAUUGUUACCACUAGAAAUAGGCAAGUGCUUUUCCAGUGUGGCAUGAAUCUCAUUUAUGAAGCCAAGAAAUUAAAUAAAUAUGAAUCUAUUCAGCUCUUUUGCCAACAUGCCUUCAAAAGCAAUCAUCCUAUAGAAUAUCAGUUGGGGCUAUCACGGAUGGUUUUAAGUUUUGCUAAUGGAAACCCAUUGGCUAUUAAAUUUUUCGGGUCCCCUCUUUAUGGAAAGAACAAGAACUACCAGGAAAGAGCAGUAAAAGAACUAAAGCAGAUUCCUAACCCAGACAUUCUUAAAUUGUUCAGAAGCAGUUUUGAUGGACUAAAUCCUGUAGAGAAAGACAUAUUUCUUGACAUUGCUUGUUUCUUUAAAGGGGAGGAUCGAGACUUUGUAACAAGGAUUAUGGAGGCCUGUUAUCCUUCUGCAUAUUCAAGAAUUGAGAACCUCAUUGAUAAGUCUCUCAUAUAUAUUUCACAAAAUAAAAUAGAAAUGCAUGAUAUAUAACAACAGUUGGGUUGCAAUAUUGUUCACUAUGAAUCACCUUCAAAGCCUGAAAAUCGCAGUAGGCUGUGGAUUCCUGAAGAGAUCUAUGAUGUGCUAACAAAAAACAAUGUAAGGGACUUGUUCAUUUUCUCUGAACAAAUCCAUGUUUGACAGUCAUGUUUUAGUCUUAUUCGAACACACAUCUUUUUAUUAAAUACAUACAUGCAUAUGAUAAUUAUCUUGAAUUAAUAUAUUGCCUAUAUUUUGACUCCAUAAACUGCUCUUGGGUUUAGGGAACGGAAACGCUCACAGGCAUUGUACUUGAUAUGUCCAAACUUGAAAAGUUGGAAUUGGAACCAAUAGCAUUUAUGAAGAUGCGGAAGCUUAGAAUCCUCAAAUUCUAUAAUUCGUGUGGAAGAACCUUACUUUUUAAAGAGCUUUUAUCACUUCCUGACGAGCUAAGGUACCUUUGCUGGGAGGGAUAUGAUGGGAAGAAACCGAACAACCGAAACAAAGCGAAAGCACAACCGGUGUUCUUUCUCUCCUUAUAACUCCUGUAAAAAAUUAUGGCAAGCACAAUAGCACAAGAUAUGUUCUCUAGCAACCUUAAUCAACCACAAAUCAACUAAUGCAACCACAACAAAAAUAAAUAGAGACACCAAUAUUUUUACGUGGAAAAACCCCUCUAAAUUAAGGGUAAAAACCACGGGACUUUAGAGUCCGAUAAAGAGCUCCACUAUCAUCAAAUGUUCAACUACAAGAUCACAAUAUCAAGCCUACAACAAGCAUUCAACUCCGACAAGGCUAACAACAUGUAAUCUUUAGCAAAAGAGAGAAAAAUGAGAGAACAUCACCAAAAACGUAGCUACUGAAAAAUGGGUAUUUCCGACGCUACAAGACUCGGAUGAAAAAUCCGACCGUACAAAGUCAAGAACACCUUAUCACCUAGCUGCUGUCCAAAAAUCAGCUCAAUCGAACCACGGAUGGACCUUCGAUCGAAGAGUUGAUCACUGCUGCACCAAGCUUGAAAAUCUGAUUUUUUCUAUUCUCUUUCUCUCUAUUUUUCUUUUAGCUCUCUGCAGAAAAAUUUCUGCCCACUCCCGUUAAUAAGCCAAAAAGAAUUGGCUUUUGACAAAACCAAAAGAAAAAGGGAAGGCAAAACAUUUGUGCCAGAAAAUAUGGGUUUCCCACAUAGUGGGACCCAUACCCAACAAAUCUCCCCCUCCAACUAUGUGGGGAAUGCCUCCAUACCGGAGGUCAAACAACAUGCUUCAAAUUUUCCUCUUGGUAAGGCCUUCGUCAACAUAUCAGCACCAUUAUCAUUAGUGUGUAUCUUCUCAAGCUCUAACAACUUAGCUUCAAGAACAUCUCGUAUCCAAUGGUACCUCACAUCAAUAUGCUUAGAUCUAGCAUGAAAAGUUGAGUUCUUACCAAGAUGAAUAGCACUCUGGCUAUCACAGUACAGGACAUACUUCUCCUGAGUAAAACCAAGCUCAUGCACAAACUUCUUCAUCCAAAGCAUCUCCUUACACGCUUCGGUUGCUGCAAUGAACUCUGAUUCGGUGGUGGACAAUGCAACACACUUUUGCAGUCUCGAUUGCCAUGCCACAGCUCCCCCUGCAUAAGUGAUUAAGUAACCUGAAGUAGAUCUCCUCGAGUCAAUGUCUCCAGCCAUGUCUGAAUCUGUAUACCCAACAAGAACAGGUUUCUCAUUGCCGAAACAAAGUUUCAUGUUGGAAGUGCCACGAAGAUAUCUCAUAAUCCACUUCACUGCAUUCCAAUGCUCUCUGCCUGGAUUAGAAAGAAACCGACUAACUGUACCAACGGCAUAAGCCAAGUCUGGUCUCGUGCAAACCAUUGCGUACAUCAAACUACCCACGGCUGAAGAGUAAGGAAUUUUCUGCAUCUCUUCCUUCUCCUUUUCUGUGGAAGGACUAUGCUUAACACUCAAUCUGAAGUGCAUAGCAAAGGGAGUAUUCACCGCUUUAGCUUUGUCCAUACUAAACCUUUGAAGUACUUUCUCAAUGUACCUCUCUUGUGAUAACCAUAAUUUCUUGGCCUUUCUAUCACGUGUCAGUCUUAUGCCAAGAAUUUGCUUUGCUGGCCCCAAAUCCUUCAUUGCAAAGGAUUUACUCAACUCUUGUUUCAACUUCUCAAUUCUAGAAGCAUUCUGACCAACAAUAAGCAUAUCAUCAACAUAGAGCAAAAGAAUAAUAAAAUCAUCACCAGAGAAUCUCUUAACAAACACACAAUGAUCAGAAGUAGUCUUCUUGUAGCCUUGCUCCCCCAUAACAGACUCAAACUUCUUGUACCAUUGCCUUGGAGCUUGCUUCAAACCAUACAGGCUCUUCUUCAAUCUGCACACAUAGUCCUCUUUCCCUUGUGCAACAAAACCCUCUGGCUGCUCCAUGUAAAGCUCUUCUUCCAAGUCACCAUGAAGAAAAGCAGUUUUCACAUCCAUUUGUUCAACCUCUAGGUCAUAACAAGCUGCCAAACUCAGUAUAGUUCUGAUAGAGGACAUCUUCACAACCGGAGAAAAUAUUUCUUCAAAAUCAACCCCCUUUUUCUGAGUAUAACCCUUGACGACCAAUCUAGCUUUGUAUCGUGGAGAUGAAGACUUCUCUUCUUGCUUCAACCUGUAAACCCACCGAUUCUUCAAAGCUCUUUUGCCUUUAGGCAGUUUCACCAAUUCAAAAGUAUGGUUCUCAUGCAAGGAUUGAAGUUCGCCAUUCAUCGCUUCAACCCACUGAUCUUUGCAUUCACUCUCCAUAGCCUCUUCAUAACAUUCAGGUUCUCCCCCGUCAGUCAAAAGAACAUAUUCAUCAGGAGAAUACCUGACAGAAGAUCGUCGAUCUCUGGAAGACCUUCGAAGUGGAACUGCUGGUGGAGCUAUAGGUGCUUGUUGUUGAUCAUUCACAACAUCAUCCAUGGGAGUAUCAAAGUCACCUAUAGUCUGAUGGUCACCACUAACAUCACCAUGCACAUCAUCCUGGAUAGGAUCUGGUGAAGAGUCUAAGGGAACCGGAUUCACAUCGAUCAAGUCACCACUACCUUGUGAAUCCACUUUCUCCGUCUUAUCAAUGUCAUCAAUGGUCUGAUCCUCAAUGAAGACAACAUCUCUGCUUCUCACGAGUUUCUUCUGAACUGGAUCAUAGAGUCUAUAACCAAACUCACCAUCUAGACCAUAACCAAUAAAAAUGCAUUGUCGAGCCUUGGCAUCCAACUUGGAUCUUUCAUCCUUUGGAACAUGAACAAAUGCUUUACAACCGAACACACGUAGGUGAUCAUAUGACACGUCUUUACCAAACCAAACUCUAUCUGGCACAUCACCUUUCAAAGGAACACUAGGAGACAGAUUUAUCACAUGUGUCACUGUAUUCAAAGCUUCAGCCCAAAACGAUCUUGGUAACUUUGCAUCUGACAACAAACAUCUGACUCUCUCAAUCAAUGUUCGGUUCAUUCUUUCAGCUAACCCAUUUAACUGUGGAGUCUUUGGUGGUGUUCUCUGAUGUCUGAUUCCCUGUCGCAGACAAUACUCAUGAAACGACCCUGUGUACUCGCCACCAUUAUCAGUACGAAUGCACUUCAACUUCUUCCCAGUUUCCCUUUCAACUGAUGCUUGAAACUGUUUAAACACCUCAAAGACUUGAUUUUUAGACUUCAAAGUGUAAACCCAUAGCUUUCUUGAACAAUCAUCAAUGAAAGUCACAAAGUAAAGUGCACCACCAUGUGAUCUUACUUUUAUCGGACCACAAACAUCUGAAUGGACCAACUCUAGCAACUCUGAUUUCCUAUGAGGAGGAUGGCUUCUAAAUGAAACUCUUUUCUGCUUUCCUGCUAGACAAUGAGCACAAUUCUUCAGUGUAGCAUUCUUUAAACCCGAAAGUUGAUUCUUCUUCGCUAAACAGCUAAGCCCCUUCUCACUCAUGUGACUGAGUCGUUUAUGCCACAACUCAGUUGAGUUGUCAUUCAGUGUCACAUUCACCGUCUCUCGAGAAGUCAAAGCUUGCAUCAAGUACAAAUUUGAGCUCUUCUUUCCUCGAGCCACAACCAAGGAGCCUUUAGUCAGCUUCCACUGCCCUUCACUGAAGGUGUUACAGAAUCCCUCAUCAUCAAGUUUUCCUGCAGAAAUCAAAUUCAAACGGACAUCCGGUGCAUGUCUGACAUCCUUGAGAGUUAACUUUGUUCCAUUGUUACUUACCAAGCUAACAUCUCCCAUACCAAUAACCGAAACCAAACCAUCAUUACCCAUCUUCAAUACCCCAAAAUCACCAGGAGUAUAAGAUGUGAAGAAUUCCUUCCUCGACGUGACAUGAAGUGAUGCACCAGUAUCAAUCACCCAACUAGUCUCGUCGCAUGCUAGGUUGACCAAAUUCUCAUCACAAAUAACUAACAGAUCUUCACGAGUAACAGUAGCAACACGCUCGAAUUUUUCAUCGUCAUUCCGAUCGUGUUUAUCACCACCACCUUUGUUCUCUUUCUUCCACUUGAAGCAAUAUUUCUUGAUAUGACCUUUCUUACCACAAUGAUGACACUCAAGAUUCUUGUAUCUCGAUCUUGACUUGCUUCGGCUUUUAUCUCUACCCUUUCCAUCUUUGUCUCUGUUUCUCCCCCUGUUCUCGAUAACCAACACCUCGGACUGUGAUGUAGAACCCUGAGAUCUUCUUCUAACCUCUUCAUUCAACACACCACUCUUAGCCAAAUCCAAAGUAAUAAUACCCUGUGGGGCAGAAUUAAUGAGUGAGACUCGAAAGGUCUCCCAAGAGUCUGGUAGAGUAGCAAGCAACCAAAGUCCUAAAAUCUCGUCAUCAAAUUUGACACCCAUACCAAGCAACUGAUUCAUCAUACUCUGAAAUUCACUAACAUGGUCAGCUAUAGACAUUCCUUCUUUAUAUUUCAGCGCCAUCAUUUUCUUCAGCAAAAAUAACUUGUUAUUGCCCGACCUCGAAGCAUACAAGCUUUCAAGCUUCUCCCACAAUGUUCGAGCAUGUGUCUCCUGAUCAAUGUGAUUGUAAACAUUUUCUUCAACAAAUUGCCGAAUAAAGCCACACACUUGUUGAUGCUCAAAUUCCCAUUCUUCAUCACUUUUCGAAUCGGGUUUUUGAGUAGUAAAGACCGGAAGAUGCAAAGCCUUCACAAACAACAAGUCCUUCAUUUUAUUCCGCCAAAGUUGAUAAUUUGUGCCAUUCAACAUAAUCAUCUUGCUCGUAUUAAUUUCCAUAAUUAUCUGACACAAUAACCAAGCUCUGAUACCAGUUUGAUGGGAAGAAACCGAACAACCGAAACAAAGCGAAAGCACAACCGGUGUUCUUUCUCUCCUUAUAACUCCUGUAAAAAAUUAUGGCAAGCACAAUAGCACAAGAUAUGUUCUCUAGCAACCUUAAUCAACCACAAAUCAACUAAUGCAACCACAACAAAAAUAAAUAGAGACACCAAUAUUUUUACGUGGAAAAACCCCUCUAAAUUAAGGGUAAAAACCACGGGACUUUAGAGUCCGAUAAAGAGCUCCACUAUCAUCAAAUGUUCAACUACAAGAUCACAAUAUCAAGCCUACAACAAGCAUUCAACUCCGACAAGGCUAACAACAUGUAAUCUUUAGCAAAAGAGAGAAAAAUGAGAGAACAUCACCAAAAACGUAGCUACUGAAAAAUGGGUAUUUCCGACGCUACAAGACUCGGAUGAAAAAUCCGACCGUACAAAGUCAAGAACACCUUAUCACCUAGCUGCUGUCCAAAAAUCAGCUCAAUCGAACCACGGAUGGACCUUCGAUCGAAGAGUUGAUCACUGCUGCACCAAGCUUGAAAAUCUGAUUUUUUCUAUUCUCUUUCUCUCUAUUUUUCUUUUAGCUCUCUGCAGAAAAAUUUCUGCCCACUCCCGUUAAUAAGCCAAAAAGAAUUGGCUUUUGACAAAACCAAAAGAAAAAGGGAAGGCAAAACAUUUGUGCCAGAAAAUAUGGGUUUCCCACAUAGUGGGACCCAUACCCAACAGGAUACCCUUUGAAAACUUUACCCUCCACGUUUCAUCCAAGGUACCUAGUUGAACUUGAUAUGAGUAGCAGCAAUUUGGAACAACUCUGGGAGGGAAAACAGGUACUCUUUUUUCUUUUGAUAUAAAUCUAUGGUGUUUUGUAGAUUGAUGCAAGCAUGUUUGGAACUAAUUCCAUUGCUAUUUCUUGAUUUUAUAAAGUUUCCUUUACAUAUCACUCUACGUCUUCAUAAUGUUCUCAUAAUAGCUGAGGAAAAAGACCAGUUUCAAUAUGAAUAGUGUUUUAAGUUAUUUUUGCAUUAAAAAAAGAGGAGUUAUAACAUUAAUUUAUUAGGGUUAUGUUUGGGGAAAAAAUCGAAUCCAAUUAGAAACCUUUAUAUUUCUAAACUCCUUGAAAUAUUUUAUUAUAUGUAUAUAUGUAAUUUUGUUACUUUAUUUAUACUUAAACUGAUAAAUAAUUAAAGUUAGAGUUUACAUUAUAUGGUGAAAUUAAUCAAAUUUAAAUCUAUAAUUUUUAUUAAUUUAUUUAAAUAUAAAAUUAUUAGACCUUUUUUAUUAGAGUAAAGAAAAGAAUUGUUUAAAUGCAAAAAUUUUAGACUUUAUUUAAAAGCAAAUUUUUUAUAGUAAAAUUAUCGGUUAUUUUUUAAAUGAAUAAUUUUAUUGAUGGGUCAUAUAUUAGUUUAAUUUUUUAAGAAAUUUAUAAUUAUGAGACAUUUAUGAUGUGGGUGAAAAAAAUUAUAAAAUAAUAAUAUAUGACAAAUAACAUAAUAAAAAAUAAUUUAUAAUUUAAACGACAUAGAGAAAAAUAAAAUAAAAAAGAUUAUAUGUUUACUUUUUUGAUAUUAUAUUUAUUUAUAAUUUGAAAUUAAUAUAAUAUAAUAUCAGGGACACAUGUUAUAAAAUAAGUAUCUAUUAUUUUUUAUGAAAUUUUAAUUAUUUGAAGUUGAAAAAUAAUGAGCCUAUCAAAGAAGCACCAUAAUUUCAAAUUUAUCUUAAUUUGAGCUUGAAUUUUAAAAGGGAACUUAAUGUAGAUUAAACCAAAAUUUGAGGGAUGAGUUGGAAUGAAGCUCAAACUUGUUGGUUCUAAUACUCACCUUAAUUAUACCAUUUUGAAGAUAGUUCAAUCUUUUGUUGUAAUGUGGUGAUUAUUUUGGUCAUACCUGUUGCAUUAUUGUUCUUCAAUGUAUAGAAAUUUAUCAAACACUGCGUUUUUAUGCUUGCAGAAUUUAGUAAAUUUGAAGGUGAUCAAUCUCAACAAUUCUAAGAACCUUGUAAGACUCCCGGAUCUCUCAACCGCCACAAAUCUUGAAAAGAUAAACCUUUGCUGGUGUUUUAACUUGCGUGAGCUUCCUUCAUCCCUUCAACAUCUGCAGAAGCUAACUCUUUUGGAUUUCAGCUAUUGUGAAAGUAUUAGAUCUCUGCCUAGCUUUUAUAAAGCCACAUCCCUCACCAAACUUCAUCUCAGUGGCUGCUCAAAACUGUUUAGUUUUCCAGAGGUUUCAUCGAAUGUAACAGAGCUAUGGUUAGGUGGAACUAAAAUUGAAGAAGUUCCUUCCUCCAUCGAAUGUCUCUCUAAUCUUCGUUUAUUGGACCUAUGGGGUUGCAGGAGGCUUAAAUCUCUCCCUACAAGUAUUCAUAAAUUGAAAUCUCUUGAGAAAUUCAAUCUUGGAGAUUGCUCAAGUUUGGAGACCUUCCCAGAAAUCUUGGACAUCAUGGAGAGGUUGAGGGAUCUUGAUUUAAGCGGAACAGUUUUGAAGGAAUUACCAUUCUCAAUUGACAAUCUUAUCGGUCUUAAAAUUUUGAGAUUGAACAACUGUGAAAACCUUGUUUGCCUUCCUGAUAACUUUUAUAAAUUGAAAUCUCUUUUGCAUCUUAGUCUCUGUGGUAGUUCAAAUCAAGUCGUAAAAAACUUGUUUACUGCCAUUGGACAUCUCCCUGGGUUAUCCUCGUUAAAGAAGUUAGAUUUAUCUGAAAGCAAUCUUGAGAACUUGCCCGCAACCAUCAAACAAUUUCAUUUGUUGGAAGAGUUAAUCUUGAGGAAAUGCAAGAGACUGAAAUCAUUACCAGAGCUUCCACCAAGCCUCGUAUAUUUAGAUGCACAUGACUGUACUUCAUUAGAGGAUGUCUCAAGCAUUAAGAAGCUUUUUGAGCAAGAACUGUUUUGUGAGGAUGGAUCAAAUCGUUUCUUGCAGUUGAAAUUUAGCAACUGCUUCAAACUGGGUGAGAAAGUUGUGGGGAAUGAUAUAGAUGCAUAUGACAGCACUUCAGUACAGGAAGUCUCAAGCUUUAAGAAUCUUUUGAAGCAAGUAGUGUUUAGUAAAUCCUUGGGUUGGCUAUUUACCAACUAUUUCCAACUGGAUCAGAAAGCUGUGAGAAGUCCUGAAACCCCAAAGUUGGAGAUGCCAUUUGAGCAUAUGGUCACUGCACUAACAGAUCAUCAUCAGGUCAGUUUCUUCUUCUCUAUAUAUCUUCAAUGUGGUAGAUAGCUAUGUUCUGAAUAAUCAAUCAUGUUUCUAAUAAUUGUAAUCAAACAGGCAUCCCCAAAAAGCAAAAAAAGAGCUUGCAUUAUUACAUGCGUCCCUGGAAGUGGAAUCCCGGAAUGGUUUGAUUUCAAAAGCUUAGGAUCUUCCAUAAACAUCCAAUUGCCUUCAGAGCGGUGGUCUAAUAAUAGCUGGAUAAACUUUCCAUGUUUCGUUGCUUCCGUUGCUGUUUCUUUCCUAGACUCUUAUGAAGGUAAGGGGUUUCGCAUUACGUCUGAAUGUCAUCUAAAAUCCUGUAAUGGCGACAAUCAUGACCUUAGCUCUUCUUACUCCUUUUCGUUUGGAAGCCGAUUGAGAGAUCACGUGUUCCUCGUAUAUGAUGGUUUCGGUGUUAGGGAGUUCGUUAAAAGUGAGGCAUCAAACAAUCGUAUUUACAAUGUGGCUUCCUUUCAUUUCUACAUUGAUGAGUGGAAUUCGUCCAAAUGCAAGGUGAAGGAGUGCGGAAUUCAUCUAUUAUUUCCAAAUUAAGGAUUCAAUGAUGCUUCAUCUCAGCUAUACUGAAUUUCAGAGGCUAAAUAUGUUUACAAAAUAUUUAACAUCACACAUUUUAUCAUUGGUUUUAUUUAUAAUUGUAAGUGGUUUUUAUUAAUGUUUAUUUUUAGCUCAAAAUUUAUAUAUAUAUUUUUCAUUUCUUAUUUUUUAAACACAAUUAAAAAUUUAAUGCAUGUGUAAAUUGAUUUAAAUAUAAAUAGGCUUAAAUACUCAUUUAUCCCUUGAAUUUGUCACUUCUUCACAAGUUGAUAUUUAUGGUUUUUUCUCCCAAUUUAUUAGUACUGAAAUUUCAUUAUGUUGACGGUUUUGGUUUUUUUUUUAUAAUGGUGUUAAGUUCGAGACAUGUAACAUUCUUAGACUGUAUCACGUCAUAAAAAUAUAAAAUUUAAAAAAAUAAAAAAAUUAAAAGGAAUACUUAAAAUUUUUUUUUAAUUUUUUUAUUGGAAUGAAGUUGGACUUAGAGUUGUCCAAAUUAAUUUGUUUCAAAGCUUAAUUUAAAAACAAAUUUCAAACUUUAAAUUUUAAAAAUUUUAUAAAUAUGUAAAAUAUUAUUAAAAUAUAAAAAUGUAUUAAAUAAAAUUUAAAAAGUUCAAAAAAUUUUAAAAUUUUAUUUAAAAUGAUAUCGAAAUACAAUAAUGGUAUCGAUAAAUUCGUAUGGGUAUCGAUAUUUUUUAGAAAAUAUGAAUACUUUUGUUUUGGGAGCAGUUUUCAAAAUGAUUAAAAUUGUUUUAAUCAAAUUUAAGAGUUUAAAAACGAGUUUUGAAUCUUGUCAAAAUUUUCUGAAUGUUCAAAGCAUUUUCAAAGAGUUUGGAAGUCUUGAAAUGAUAUUUAUGCUUUUAGCUUAAUAAAUUCUUUGUUCAAAAACAAAUUUCAUUCAAAAAUAUUUUUAUUUGUUAUAUCAAAAUAAGUUAUCAAAUAAAAUUAGUUUAACAAUCUCCCCCUUCUUGAUAUAACAAAACAUUUUGGUAAAUUUGUUUUUAAAUUUGUUACUCCCUUUCUAAAGUUCAAAUUGAAUAAAUGACUUUUGUUUUUAUAAUUUUUUUAAAUAAUAAUUUUUAUAAAAUUUGGAAACAAAGAUUUAAGAGAAAGUCUGAGCACUUGAUGUUAGCAUUAAAAGAUUAGUCAUAAGCAUAACCAACCAAAAUACUAAAAAUUUACAUUUCCUUCUCUUCUUCCCUUUUUGUUAUAUAAAAAAAUCUAACAAAAAAAAAUUGAAGAGAAACUUAGUUAAUUCAAUAAUGGAAAUUGAGAAAGGUGAAAGAAAUAACUAACAUACACAUACCAAAAUAAACAUUAAGUUCUAGAGAUAGGAAAAUGUGCAAUGUAAAUAAGUGAAAUGCAUGAGAAAAGAAAAUGCAUCCUAAUCUUCUUGAGGUGGAGGAGGAGGAGGAAAUUGAGACAUAAGAAAAGCAAGACAACCUAUCAUCUACACUGGUGUGAAAACCUCUAAAUUCCUCACUUAAGGAAGUAAUAACACCAAAAAUGAUUGCAGACAUGUCGUCGGAGUGAGUCGAAGCAGAAGGUUGAACAGAUGAAGAGGUCGGUGGAAGGGCCUGCUCGACCAGAGGAAUAUCACCAUGAGCUUCUUCAAAAUCUUCAUUGUCAAUAUCUAGAGGAUUAUGAUUGUCAUCCUUAACCCAAGUUUCGGUAAUAGAGUCUAAUUUAAAACUAGCUCGAUGAAGAACAUGAAAACUAAUGUGUUGAAAUUUAACGACCAUAGAAGGAUCAACAUAGGUUGAGAUGUUUAGGCAUGUAAAAAUGCAUGACAAGAAUGUGCCAAAGGGCAAGGUGAGAGUGCUAGUAAGCUCCUUGCCAAUUCGCUUGGUAAUAUCAUUGAAUAAAACUAAGGCAAAAUCAGGAUGCCUAUUGCUAUGAAAACAAUCUAUUCACCAAUAGUCAAUAGAUCAAAGAAUAACAUGUUUUGAAUAAGGGUACAAAAUCUAAGUGAUAAUAAAAUGCAAAACACGAUUAUGGACAUUACGCUCGAAAAAUAUGAACGACGAACGUUCAAAACCGGAUUAUAAGUACCGUUCUCAUUUGAAGUGUUAAUUUGAGUGUUGAAAGCCACAAAAAGAUAACACGUUUUGUUUCAAUUUCAUCUAUUAAUUGAAUAAAAACCCAUAAAAGAUGACAAGUAGCCUAGUAAACACACAAUGCGCGUUUGCUUUUGUGUUUUCAUGAUCCAGCGGACAAAGAGCAAUUAUUUGAAAUUAUUUUUUGGAUUCGAUUUUAGUUUUCUACAUUAAAAAUAAAAAUAAAAACCUAUAAUAUUUGUGGUUAAUGUACUAUAUACGCAAUCAAAUAUAAGCGUAGUUGACAUAAAUUUUAUGGCACACAUCCACAAUAAAAUUUAAGUCAAGAAAAAUUUUUAGUAUUAAAGGAUUUUUACAAGAAAAUAUCUAUUUAAAGAUUUAAUUAAUUGCUUAAAUUCAAUUAAAUUUUGAACUAUUGUUUCCGGGAAAAUUAGAAUGAUUUUAGAUAUAGCUAUAAGAAAAAAACAAAUAUAUAUAAUAAUCUUAUUGAUUUAUAUAAAUAUUGCGUAUUUAAUAAAUAAAAAUAAUAUAAUAUUAAAAAAAUUUAUUAUGAAAUAAACCAAACCAUUAAUCAAAAAGUUCUUUUUAAAGGUAUAACUAAAAUUUUUUUUGAAAAAUAAUAUAAUAAAUUCAUGGUAUUUAAAAUUUUUGAAAAAAAUCGAGGGAUCAAUAUCCGCUUAAGUUUAAAAGUUAAAACAAUAUAUAAUUGAUUUUCAAAGAUUAUAUACCUAACUUUCUAAAGUUAUAUAAUUGUCAUUAAAGUUAUCAAACUGUUACAUUUUUUUCACUCAUAUGUUAACUUCUUUCAAGAGGGUGGUGCGGCAUGUUAAUUUAAAGGGUUAAUAACCAAAAUAGAUCCAAAACUAUAACUAAAAUAUCAAUUUGAAUCUUUAAAAAUUUUUCUUAAUAAAAUUUUAAUUUUUUUUUGUAAAAUUUAAGAAAUAUUGAUUUGAAUCCCUGAACUGAAUUCAUAUUUAAGACUUAUAUAUUGAGAAAAGAUUUAGAAGUAUCAAAUUGAUAUUUUAAAUGUAGCUCUCGAUUAGUUGGAGGCUCUUAAAGUGGUACAAUUAAUCUGAAGGUUUUAGGUCCCACACGCUUUACCAGUUGAUGUAUGGCUAUAGCCUAUAAGUUUGAAAAUUAUCCGGUUGGGAUUCACAAGUCACUCGGUAAUUGCAUCUCCUUUUCUUUAAAUAUAUGCAUAUAUAGAUUUGGAAGCAGAGAGAUUAAACAGACUUUUGUUUCAAGCAGUGAUUCAUUUAUGCUACCCAGAUUCGAGUUGAGGGGCAGAUACUUGAUAUGAAAGACUUUAACUUUUCCCUUUUUAAUUUUUUUUUUUUUGCCAUAAUUUUGUAGGCAUAGAGAAAAAAUAAGAAGAAUCUGUUCUUGAACAAUGUUAUUAUUUGUUGCGUUUUCUAUACCUUGAUACCAUUCUUUUUAACUCAAAGUUCAUGACACCUGCAUACCAUUCUCUCAUGUAUAAAAUCUAUUGAUAUAUUUAUUUUCAAAGAAAAAAGUUAUAAUUUGAGGAUUUUGAAAGGGGUGUAGAUAGUGAAAUUUGAAUUCUACAUCUGUCUUUGAAUGUCUUCUUUUUAUAACUCACCCUAUAAAUCAAUUGAGUUAACUUUAUCAUUUUUAUUUAUUUAUUUCUCUUUCCUUUUUAUUUCUCCUGUAAUUUGUUUCUUCAUUUAAUAUAUAGGCCUGACUCAACUCUGGUAGAUAAAAUUGUCGAAGAUAUAGUGAAUAAAUUGAAUUGUGGAACCUCAAGCCCUAAUUUAAAGGGUUUAGUUGGAAUUGAAAGGCGGAUGCGGGAAGUUUUGUCUUUAUUUUAAGACGGAUUCCCAGAUUUUCGAAUGCUAGGCAUUUGGGGUAUGGGAGGUAUAGGCAAAACUACACUUACCGACGCCAUUUAUCACCAUGUUUCAAAUGGUUUCCAAAGCUACUCCUUUCUUCCAAACGUGAGAGAACAUGAUGAACGAGGAGAAUUGUUCAACUUGCGUCAGAAAUUUCAUUCAACCAUAUUAGGAGAUGAAAAUUUAUAUAUCUCAACGCCCACAAUCGGAUCAGACUUUCUUAAGGACAGGCUAUCCAAUAAGAAGGUUCUGAUAGUUUGUGAUGAUGUGUCAAAGUUAAGCCAACUCGAGUUUUUAUUCGGAGGAAUCGAUCGGUUUGGCCCUGGAAGUCGAGUCAUUGUUACAACUAGGGAUAAACAAGUGCUUAUCCAGUGUGGCAUGGAUCUGGAUCGCAUUUAUAAAGUAAAGAAAUUAAAUUAUUAUGAAUCUGUUCAGCUAUUUUGUCAACGUGCCUUCAAAAGCAGUCAUCCUAUAGAAUAUUAGUUGGAGCUAUCAAAGAUGGUUUUAAGUGUUGCUAAUGGAAACCCUUUAGCUAUUAGACUUAUCGGAUCCUCUCUUUAUGGCAAGACCAAAAGCUACCAGGAAAGUGAAGUAAAGAAAUUAAAUAAAGUUCCUAAGCAGGACAUUCAAGAAGUGUUGAAAUGGAGUUUUGAUGGACUAGAUUGUGAAGAGAAAGAAAUGUUUCUUGACAUUGCUUGUUUCUUUAAAGGGGAGAAUCGAGACUUUGUAACAAGGAUUAUGGAUGCUUGUUAUGACUCUGCACAUUCGGGAAUUGAGAAUCUCAUUGAUAAAUCUCUUCUAUCUGUUUCACAAAACCUGAUAGCAAUGCAUGAUUUAUUGCAACAGAUGGGUUGGAAUAUUGUACACAAGGAAGCACCUUUAAAGCCUGAAAAACGCAGUAGGCUGUGGAUUCCUGAGGACAGCUAUAAUGUGCUAUCAGAAAACAAUGUAAGGACCCUGUUCAUUUCCUUCACUUAUGUUACCAUCACUCUUCAUUUUCUUCGGACAUAUCCAUGUCCGACAGUCAUGUUUGGUUCUUAUUCGAACACAUAUUUGUAUAAAAUACAUACAUGUAUAUGAUAAUUAUCUUGAGUUCAUAUUUUGCCUAUAUCUUGACUCCAUAUACUGCUCUUGGGUUUAGGGAGCGGAAAGUCUCACAGGCAUUGUACUUGAUAUGUCCAAAACUUCCAAAGUUGGAAUUGGAAACGACAGCCUUGAUGAAGAUGCGAAAGCUUAGAAUUCUCAAAUUCUAUCAUUCUUGUGGAAGAAUCUUACUUUGUAAAGGGCUUUUAUCAUUUCCUAAGGAACUAAGGUACCUUUACUGGGAGGGAUACCCUUUGAGAUCUUUGCCCACCAAGUUUGAUCUAAGGUACCUAGUUGAACUUGAUAUGAGGGCGAGCCAUCUUGAACAACUCUGGGAGGGAAAACAGG
Molecule: long non-coding RNA, 68808 nt
Filed under: Gossypium barbadense (sea-island cotton)
Lineage: Eukaryota; Viridiplantae; Streptophyta; Magnoliopsida; Malvales; Malvaceae
Description: long non-coding RNA (GBAR_LNC010909)
Source: RNAcentral